CAACCGGCAAUAUAAGUAAUGACGAUACUAUGUCUGGCAUGGUUGAUGUACCCGAACAUCUCAUGCCAACAAUUACUCUUGGACGUUUGCUUCACCAUUUCCUUUUUCUGCUUGAGUCCCAAGUGGUGGUUUUGGUUGUGCAUUCGGGUCAGGCAGUGGUUGUGGAUUCGGGUCUGGUAAUGGUUGUGGGUUUGGAUCAGGUUGCGGUCCUGGUAAUGGCUGAGGGUUUGGGUUUGGCUGUGGGUCCGGCAAUGGCUUCGGGUUUGGGUCUGGUAAUGGUUGCGGGUUUGGAUGAGGUUGUGGUCCUGGUAAUGGCUGAGGGUUUGGGUUUGGCUGUGGGUUCGGCAAUGGUAUCGGGUUUGGGUCUGGUAAUGGUUCUGGGUUUGGAUCAGGCUGUGGUCCUGGUAAUGGCUGAGGGUUUGGGUUUGGUUGUGGGUCCGGCAAUGGUUUUGGGUUUGGGUCUGGUAAUGGUUGUGGAUUUCGAUCAGGCUGCGGUCUUGGUAAUGGUUGAGGGUUUGGUUUUGCUCGUGGGUCUGGUAGUGGCCGCGGCUUUGUGUUUGGCUGUGGGUUCAUCAACUGUUGCAGGUUUUGUCCUGGCAAUAGUUGUGGAUUUGGGUCAGGNNNNNNNNNNGUUGUGGGUUUGGAUCAGGUUGCGGCCCUGGUAGUGGCUUAGGGUUUGGGUUUGGCUGUGGGUCCGGCAAUGGUUUUGGGUUUGGGUCUGGUAAUGGUUGUGGAUUUCGAUCAGGCUGCGGUCUUGGUAAUGGUUGAGGGUUUGGUUUUGCUCGUGGGUCUGGUAGUGGCCGCGGCUUUGUGUUUGGCUGUGGGUUCAUCAACUGUUGCAGGUUUUGUCCUGGCAAUAGUUGUGGAUUUGGGUCAGGGUGUGGUCCUGGUAAUGGUUGAGCGUUUGGAUCAGGUUGUGGAUCUAGCAGUGGUUGUGGGUUUGUAUGAGGUUUAGGCUCGGGUAGCGGUUGCGGCUUUGGGUCUGGUUGUGGUCCCGGCAAUGGUUGAGGGUUUGGAUCUGGCUGUUUUCCUGGUAGUGGUUCUGGAUUUGGGUUCGCCCGUGGGCCGUACUGAGGGUCUCUAGUGAUCAGGUUGUGCCUCCCGGCAGCAAGAGCAAACACUGGAAGAAGCAUAAGCAGCAACGGUGCUACGAGAAGAGAAGACGCGGAUGGGCGCUUCCUCAUCGUCAUGGCUAAGCUUGUGUUGGUACGAACUUGCAAGUGCGUGCGUCUCGAUCUUCCUAUUUAUAAGCGAAUUCAGCCAUCAAGGCUGGACAAGCAUGUACGUUGUUUACUCCAACUCUGAUUGGGCUUGUUAGCUUUGCCUUUUUGAAGAUGCGGGACUGCACGCCUCCGCUUAGUGCUCUAACCAGCAGCUAGCCACAAUAAAAAGUCAUUUAGAAAAGUUUUGAGUUAUCAUCAUAAAGAAAAAGUUUGUGUAGUUUUCGUCUGGAUAGAUGUGACAUUUUUCAGUUGAUCGUAGGAGAGCAACAUGCAGAAGCAUACAGUUGCCCAAGUUGUGAACAACCUGAUCACUUUCAGUAAUUCUGUUGAAUUCAUAGCAGGGUAGCAGAUGGCUGUGAGCAUGGAAUUUGUAAAUCAUGUAAUUUUUUUUAAAAUAAGAAAAAUCAUGUAAACACGUAUACAUGUUAUUUGCGUGUCCAAGAAGUUUAAUUAAGCCAUACACAGAUUUGUAGGCUACAUAAAAAAAAUCCAGCCCAAAUGCAAUAGAAAUAAGCCUAUUUUAAAUUAUGUAUUUGUCGUUUUCCCCUUUGUGUAGACUAUAUAUGAUUUUUUUUCAAAUAUAUUUUGUUGAAAUUUUGUAUGAACACACUAUACCUUUUUUAUUGAAAAUUUUGAGGUGCAAGAAUAAAGUUCUUGAUAAAAAAUAAAGAAGCCUGUACGAUGUAUUGUUGUACACAGGAAUAUCGUGGAUUCUAAACUUGAGGUUUGCAUGGAUGGAUUUUUUUUACGGAAUCUAGUUUAAAUGAGUCCUAUUGUUUCCCGUAUGAAUUCCUAUUCUAUGACUCAAACAACACAUACAGAAAAAUUUUCUAAGGAUUAGAUUCCUCCAAAAUUCUAUUAAAAGUUUAAAACCCCUUUGAAUCAAAGAAGCCUAUUCCCCCCAAAAUAAAGAAAAGAAUCAAAUGAGCUCGGGUGAACAGUAAAAUCAAAACUAAAUCAAUUUUUUUUUAAAAAAAUCCAAUUUUUUUUGGGAGAAAAAGUUCUAAGUGCUUGCAAAAAUUCGCCAUGAAAUCACAUUUCUAGAAGGCGUGGCAAAAAAAAAAAACAAAAUCAGUACUCUGAAAAAGCUACUUUCAAAAGCAUUUUGGAGCACUGAAUUUGUUUUUUUUGCCACGCUUUACAGGAAUGUGAUUUCAUGAUGAAUUUUUGCAAGCACUUAAAACUUUUGUUAAUGUUUCUCCCAAAAAAAAUUGGGAAUUUUUUGAAUUUUUUUUGAAUUUUUUUCGAUUUUACUGUUCACCAAGCUCAAAUGAGCUCGGGAGCAGAAAGGCACUUUCGAUCAAAGAAGCCUAUUUCGCAGCAAAGCUAGUGGCUGUCCUAUCGGACAGUGAUGCACCUUUAAGUACGCGGUUUCUAAUAAUCACGAUCAGUGCACGCCGUGCACAGUGCACUCAUUUCGGUUGUAGAUGUAACUUUCACAUUUCAUACACCAAUCACGAUCAGUUGCUUGUUGGCACGGGCGGAGCUCCGUAGGGGCAGACCUGGGCCAUGGCCCGCCCAGGAAUUUGACAAAAAAAGUUUUUACUACUAGUCGUCUUAGCCCAGCCCACUAGCCCACGCACGCACUGAAUAUCCCCCCAUCGGCCAUCGUCUCCUCGUCUCGCGCACGCUGCACGCACAGGCACACUCACGCCUUCCCCAAUUCCCCAUCCUCUCAGUCCCAGACUCAUGUAGGUUGUAGCCACGCCGCCGACGACUACCGACGUGGACAGGGAACACGUCCACACGGUCCACCGGAGCGCGCCGCCCGCCAUCUCUCGGAGCAACCGCCAUGGCAACGCCCGCCGGGAUCUCGCCUCGCCCCUGCCCUGCUCCCUCCUGCCGCCCAUCAUCCGCACACUUACANNNNNNNNNNNNNNNNNNNNNNNNNNNNNNNNNNNNNNNNNNNNNNNNNNNNNNNNNNNNNNNNNNNNNNNNNNNNNNNNNNNNNNNNNNNNNNNNNNNNNNNNNNNNNNNNNNNNNNNNNNNNNNNNNNNNNGCAAUAACCUGAUUUUGUUCAUUUCCAUACACCCAGUGAUCAGUCCUGCUAGUGAUAAAUAAUAGUCUGAUGAUCUGAUCUUACGCAAAUUUUAACAUAGGUAGUCGGGAAAGGAAAAUAAGACUCAGAGAAGAAGAAGAUCACUGCACAAUAAGAUGGAAGAUGAGAAUCUGGCUAAUAACUUGUUAGUUCACAUAGAUGGUGGAAUUCUAGAAAACUACAGCCACGAAGAUGUCAUUGCAGAUUUUAUAAACAAGAAGAUCGGAGAGUUGAUUGUAUGUGAGUAGGUCCAUGUCUAAUGUCUCUGACACUUUUGUAUUAUCUAACUCAAUAGUGAAACAUGGUUGAACUGUACUUUGGUACAUAUAUAUAUUAUAUAUAUACAUAUCUGCUAGCUCAAUCUUGUGACCUGGGUGCUUGUAAUAUGUCCUUAUGGGUAAGAAUUUAGAAAAAAUUGUGUUCUUCUUCAGUCUGGCCCGCCCAACUUUUUCGUUCAAGCUCCGCCACUGCUUGUUGGUGCACAUCCAAUGCUCUAGAAUAAAACAAAAAGUACUCCUAUAUACAAAACGUACUUUACCUAACCUACCGAUUGAAUCGUAUACAUAGAUGAAAAAGAAAAGACAUCCGUAGAGUCCCAAGUUACCUACCGAUUGAAUCGUAUGUAUAGAUGAAAAAGAAAAGACAUCCAUAGAGUACCAAGUUACCUACCGAUUGAAUCAUACAUAUAGACGAAAAAGAAAAGACAUGCAUAGAGUACCAAGUUAAAGACGAUAUGACCUCACAACUAGAUUGGGUUGGGUGAGUGGAGUGCCACUUUAAUCCUUGUCUGGAGCACGCGCUAUGAUAUUUCUUCAGAGGCGCUGAAGUGGGGAACAAGACUGAUAGAACAAACAACAAGUGAGAUAUUUUGAGCUUCACUAGGUUGGAGGCCUGGUGUGCUCAGAAUUUAUCAGGGUGUAUUCAGGUUGCAGCACUGCUGCCAAGGCAUUUCUCCAGCUUCGCUCUGAAGAUCUUUUGCUUUGCUUUGUUCCUCUGUUUGUUUGUAAUGAAGUUCCCGUGUUUUGUGAUGGUUGCAAGUUCCCUGUAGUCUUUAUAUAUUUGGCUCAAGGGUGCCUGAAAAUUUCAUAGUUAUGUUUAAAAAAAUGCCGUAGUUGUUAGUUUUUGGACCAUCUAUCUAAAUCUAUCAAAGACCCUGUUGCCCGAGCUAGCCAAUCAAAGUUGGGCCAUUUGCAUCAAGCUAGGUAGGAUGCGUCGCCGGAAAACCCAAAUCGCUAAUUAAGGAGUACUCUUUGCAAAGGUCACUCCUACCAUGUCGCAACUAGUGAGUUUUCCUUUUUUUGUCGAUUCGUUUAUUCAACACGUUUUAUCGGUUAAAACAUGCAUUCACAUCUUGAAUCGUUUUCUCCAUUGUAUUCCUCGCACUGAGAUCUUGAAAAUUAGAUCCGAUCUGAUAGGUUUUGAUGAACGUUUUACUUUACGAAAAAUACCGAACAAAAAACAAACCGGGAGCACAUUUUUUCCUUUCUGAAAAGGGCACAAUCGUGCCUCUCGUGUCGUUACAAAUCUUAUCUCUGUUCGUCGUUACAAAUCCUAUGAAUUGCUAUUCUAUCUUCACAACAUCCUAUACUCCCCUUGUGUCGUUACAAAUCUUAUCUCUGUUCGUCGUUUUUGCAUUGACAAUUCAGUAACAAUUGAGUUUUACCCCCUUGACUUUGUUGUGAAGGAUCUAGCCACUCGGACUCCUUAUGAGCCGCAGUAGCUACGGCCAGCUUUACUCCUUCUCCGGCGGCACCACCAACCACCAGGCGGUGCUCUCUAUGGACGUUGGAAACUUGUGGCAUCAGCGAUUAGGGCACCCCAGUGCUGCCUCCCUUUCCCGUUUGGCGAGCAGUUUUUAACCAAAUUGUAAUAAGCCAGUCCACCCCAUGGUACUUGUCAUGCAUGUCAAUUAGGCCACCAUGCUCUCCUUCCUUUUUCCAGAUUCUCUGUCAUUUACUACUUUUCCUUUUCAACUAGUGCACUAUGAUAUAUGAACCUCAACAAUUGCGAGUUUUUCCGGCUUCAAAUAUUAUUUGUUUGUCAUAGACGACUUCACUCACUUCCCUUGGAGCUUCCCGCUACACCAUAAGCCCCAUGCCGCUGCCACCCUUGAACGCUUUUACCAGUACGUGCUCAUACAAUUCCGUGUUUACAUACAGUGUGUCCAAUGUGAUAAUGGGGGCGACUUCCUCAACGUUCACCUAUGCACUUUCUGUUGGGGAACGUUGCAGAAAACAAAAAUUUUCCUACGGUUUCACCAAGAUCCAUCUAGGACUUCAUCUAGCAACGAGUAAUCGGAUUGCAUCUACGUACCUUGUAGAUCGCGAGUGGAAGCGUUCAAAGAACGGGGAUGAGGGAGUCGUACUCGACGUGAUCCAAAUCACCGGAGAUCCUAGCGCCGAACGGACGACACCUCCGCGUUCAACACACGUACGGUCAGCGUAACGUCUCCUUCCUCUUGAUCCAGCAAGGGGCAAGGAGAGGUUGAGGAAGAUGGCUCCAGCAGCAGCACGACGGCGUGGUGGUGAUGGAGCUGCAGUACUCCGGCAGGGCUUCGCCAAGCUCUAUGGAGGAGGAGGAUGUGUUGGAGAGGGAGAGGGAGGCACCAAAGGCAAAGGUAAGAGGUCCUCCAUCCUCCCCACUAUAUAUAGGGGGGCCUAGGGGGGGACGCCGGCCCUAGGAGAUGCAAUCUCCUAGGGGGGCGGCGGCCAAGGGGUGGGGGACUUGCCCCCCAAGCAAGGGGGCGUCCCCCCCCUUUAGGGUUUCCCCCACCCUAGGCGCAUGGGCCCUAGGGGAAGUGGCGCCCCAGCCCACUUUGGGCUGGAUCCCUUCCCACUUCAGCCCAUGGGGCCCUCCGGGAUAGGUGGCCCCACCCGGUGGACCCCCGGGACCCUUCCGGUGGUCCCGGUACAAUACCGGUGACCCCGAAACUUGUCCCGAUAGCCGAAAUAGCACUUCCUAUAUAUAAUUAUUUACCUCCGGACCAUUCCGGAACUCCUCGUGAUGUCCGGGAUCUCAUCCGGGACCCCGAACAACAUCCGGGUUACUGCAUAUACAUAUCCCUAUAACCCUAGCGUCACCGAACCUUAAGUGUGUAGACCCUACGGGUUCGGGAGACAUGUAGACAUGACCGAGAUCGCUCUCCGGUCAAUAAACAAUAGCGGGAUCUGGAUACCCAUGUUGGCUCCCACAUGCUCCUCGAUGAUCUCAUCGGAUGAACCACGAUGUCGAGGAUUCAAGCAACCCCGUAUACAAUUCCCUUCGUCAGUCGGUAUGUUACUUGCCCGAGAUUCGGUCGUCGGUAUCCCAAUACCUCGUUCAAUCUCGUUACCGGCAAGUCACUUUACUCUUACCGUAAUGCAUGAUCCCGUGACCAGACACUUGGUCACUUUGAGCUCAUUAUGAUGAUGCAUUACCGAGUGGGCCCAGUGAUACCUCUUCGUCAUACGGAGUGACAAAUUCCAGUCUUGAUCCGUGUCAACCCAACAGACACUUUCGGAGAUACCCGUAGUAUACCUUUAUAGUCACCCAGUUACUUGUGACGUUUGGUACACCCAAAGCACUCCUACGGUAUCCGGGAGUUACACGAUCUCAUGGUCUAAGGAAAAGAUACUUGACAUUGGAAAACUCUAGCAAAUGAACUAUACGAUCUUGUGCUAUGUUUAGGAUUGGGUCUUGUCCAUCACAUCAUUCUCCUAAUGAUAUGAUCUCGUUAUCAAUGACAUUCAAUGUCCAUAGUCAGGAAACCAUGACUAUCUUUGAUCAACGAGCUAGUCAACUAGAGGCUUACUAGGGACAUGUUGGUGUCUAAGUAUUCACACAUGUAUUACAAUUUCCGGAUAACACAAUUAUAGCAUGAAUAAAAGACAAUUAUCAUGAACAAGGAAAUAUAAUAAUAAUGCUUUUAUUAUUGCCUCUAGGGCAUAUUUCCAACAGUCUCCCACUUGCACUAGAGUCAAUAAUCUAGUUACAUUGUGAUGAAUCGAACACCCAUGGAAUUCUGGUGUUGAUCAUGUUUUGCUCUAGGGAGAGGUUUAGUCAACGGAUCUGCUACAUUCAGGUCCAUAUGUACUUUACAAAUAUCUAUGUCUCCAUCUUGAACAUUUUCACGAAUGGAGUUGAAGCGACGCUUGAUGUGCCUCGUCUUCUUGUGAAAUCUGGGCUCCUUGGCAAGUGCAAUAGCUCCAUGUUGUCACAGAAGAGCUUCAUAGGCCCCGAUGCAUUGGGUAUGACUCCUAGGUCGGUGAUGAACUCCUUCACCCAAAUUGCUUCAUGCGCUGCCUCCGAGGCUGCCAUGUACUCCGCUUCACAUGUAGAUCCCGCCACGACGCUCUUCUUGCAACUGCACCAGCUUACUGCCCUACCAUUCAAAAUAUACACGUAUCCGGUUUGUGACUUAGAGUCAUCCAGAUCUGUGUCGAAGCUAGCAUCGACGUAACCAUUUACGACGAGCUCUUCGUCACCUCCAUAGACGAGAAACAUUUCCUUAGUCCUUUUCAGGUACUUCAGGAUAUUCUUGACCGCUGUCCAGUGUUCCUUGCCGGGAUUACUUUGGUACCUACCUACCAAACUUACGGCUAGGUUUACAUCAGGUCUGGUACACAGCAUGGCAUACAUAAUAGAACCUAUGGCUGAGGCAUAGGGGAUGAUACUCAUCUCUUCUAUAUCUUCUGCCGUGGUCGGACAUUGAGCUGAGCUCAAUUUCAUACCUUGCAACACAGGCAAGAACCCCUUCUUAGACUGAUCCAUAUUGAAUUUCUUCAAUAUCUUAUCAAGGUAUGUGCUUUGUGAAAGACCUAUGAGGCGUCUUGAUCUAUCUCUGUAGAUCUUGAUGCCUAAUAUAUAAGCAGCUUCUCCAAGGUCCUUCAUUGAAAAACUCUUAUUCAAGUAGGCCUUAAUGCUGUCCAAAAGUUCUAUAUCAUUUCCCAUCAAAAGUAUGUCAUCUACAUAUAAUAUGAGAAAUGCUACAGAGCUCCCACUCACUUUCUUGUAAACACAGGCUUCUCCAUAAGUCUGCGUAAACCCAAACGCUUUGAUCAUCUCAUCAAAGCGAAUGUUCCAACUCCGAGAUGCUUGCACCAGCCCAUAAAUCGAGCGUUGGAGCUUGCACACCUUGUCAGCAUACUUAGGAUCGACAAAACCUUACGGCUGCAUCAUAUACCAUUCUUCCUUAAGGAAACCAUUAGGAAUGCCGUUUUGACGUCCAUUUGCCAUAUUUCAUAAUCAUAGAAUGCGGCAAUUGCUAACAUGAUUCGGACGGACUUCAGCUUCGCUACCGGUGAGAAAGUCUCAUCGUAGUCAACCCCUUGAACUUGUCGAUAACCCUUAGCGACAAGCCGAGCUUUAUAGAUGGUCACACUACCAUCCGCGUCUGUCUUCUUCUUAAAGAUCCAUUUAUUUUCUAUGGCUUGCCGCUCUACGGCCAAGUCAGUCAAAGUCCAUACUUCGUUUUCAUACAUGGAUCCUAUCUCGGAUUUCAUGGCUUCCAGCCAUUUGUCAGAAUCCGGGCCCGCCAUCGCUUCUUCAUAGUUUGAAGGUUCACCGUUGUCUAACAACAUGAUUUCCAAGACAGGGUUGCCGUACCAAUCUGGUGCGGAACGUGUCCUUGUGGACCUUCGAAUUUCAGUAGGAGCUUGAUCAGAAGUAUCUUGAUCAUCAUCAUUAACUUCCUCUCUAGUCGGUGCAGGCACCUCAGGAACAUUUUCUUGAGUUGCGCCAUUUUCCGGUUCAAGAGGUAAUACUUCAUCAAGUUCUACUUUCCUCCCAUUUACUUCUUUCGAGAGAAACUCCUUCUCUAGAAAGGAUCCAUUCUUGGCAACAAAGAUCUUGCCUUCGGAUCUGAGGUAGAAGGUAUACCCAAUAGUUUCUUUAGGGUAUCCUAUGAAGACGCAUUUUUCCGACUUGGGUUCGAGCUUUUCAGGUUGAAGUUUCUUGACAUAAGCAUCGCAUACCCAAACUUUUAGAAACGAUAGCUUAGCUUUCUUCCCAAACCAUAAUUCAUACGGUGUCGUCUCAACGGAUUUCGACGGAGCCCUAUUUAAAGUGAAUGCGGGAGUCUCUAAAGCAUAGCCCCAAAAAGAUAGCGGUAAAUCGGUAAGAGACAUCAUAGAUCACACCAUAUCUAAUAGAGUGCGAUUACGACGUUCGGACACACCAUUACGCUGAGGUGUUCCAAGCGGCGUGAGUUGUGAAACUAUUCCAUAUUUUCUUAAGUGUGUGCCAAACUCGUGACUCAAGUAUUCUCCUUCACGAUCUGAUCGCAGGAACUUGAUUUUCCUGUCACGUUGAUUCUCAACCUCACUCUGAAAUUCCUUGAACUUUUCAAAGGUCUCAGACUUGUGUUUCAUUAAGUAGACAUACCCAUAUAUACUCAAGUCAUCAGUGAGGGUGAGAACAUAACGCCACCGUGAGCCUCAACAGUCAUUGGACCGCACACAUCAGUAUGUAUGAUUUCCAAUAAGUUGGUUUCUCGCUCCAUUGUUCCUGAGAACGGAGUCUUGGUCAUUUUACCCAUGAGGCAUGAUUCGCACAUGUCAAAUGAUUCGUAAUCAAGAGACUCUAAAAGUCCAUCAGCAUGGAGCUUCUUCAUGCGUUUGACACCUAUGUGACCAAGGCGGCAGUGCCACAAGUAUGUGGGACUAUCAUUAUCAAUCUUACAUCUUUUGGUACUCACACUAUGAACAUGUGUAGCAUUACGCUCGAGAUUCAUUAAGAAUAAACCAUUCACCAUCGGAGCAUGACCAUAAAACAUAUCUCUCAUAUAAAUAGAACAACCAUUAUUCUCGGAUUUAAAUGAGUAGCCAUCUCGAAUUAAACGAGAUCCUGAUACAAUGUUCAUGCUCAAAGCUAGCACUAAAUAACAAUUAUUAAGGUUUAAAACUAAUCCCGAAGGUAAAUGUAGAGGUAGCGUGCCGACGGCGAUCACAUUGACCUUGGAACCAUUCCCGACGCGCAUCGUCACCUCGUCCUUCGCCAGUCUCCGCUUAUUCCGCAGCUCCUGUUUUGAGUUACAAAUGUGAGCAACCGCACCGGUAUCAAAUACCCAGGAGCUACUACGAGUACUGGUAAGGUACACAUCAAUUACAUGUAUAUCACAUAUACCUUUCGUGAUGCCGGCCUUCUUGUCCGCUAAGUAUUUGGGGCAGUUUCGCUUCCAGUGACCACUUCCCUUGCAAUAAAAGCACUUAGUCUCGGGCUUGGGUCCAUUCUUUGGCUUCUUCCCGGCAGCUUGCUUGCCGGGCGCGGCAACUCCCUUGUCGUCCUUCUUGAAGGCUUUCUUACCCUUGCCCUUCUUGAACUUAGUGGUUUUAUUCACCAUCAACACUUGAUGUUCCUUUUUGACUUCUACCUCAGCUGAUUUCAGCAUUGCAAAUACGUCAGGAAUGGUCUUUUCCAUCCCCUGCAUAUUGAAGUUUAUCACAAAGCUCUUGUAGCUCGGUGGAAGCGACUGAAGGAUUCUGUCAAUGACCGUGUCAUCCGGGAGAUUAACUCCCAGCUGAGUCAAGCGGUUAUGCAACCCAGACAUAAUGAGUAUGUGCUCACUGACAGAACUGUUUUCCUCCAUCUUACAGCUGAAGAACUUGUCGGAGACUUGAUAUCUCUCGACCCGGGCAUGAGCUUGGAAAACCAUUUUCAGCUCUUCGAACAUCUCAUAUGCUCCGUGUCUCUCAAAACGCUUUUGGAGCCCCGGCUCUAAGCUGUAAAGCAUGCCGGACUGAACGAGGGAGUAGUCAUCGGUACGUGCCUGCCAAGCGUUCAUAACGUCUUGUUCUGCAGGGAGAACAGGUGUGUCACCUGGCGGUGCUUGUAGGACAUAAUCUUUCUUGGCAGCUAUGAGGAUGAUCCUCAGGUUUCGGACCCAGUCCGUGUAGUUGCUGCCAUCGUCUUUCAGCUUGGUUUUCUCUAGGAACGCGUUGAAGUUGAGGACUACGUUGGCCAUUUGAUCUACAAGACAUAUUGUAAAUUUUUUAGACUAAGUUCAUGAUAAUUAAGUUCAUCUAAUCAAAUUAUUCAAUGAACUCCCACUUAGAUAGACAUCCCUCCAGUAAUCUAAGUAUAACAUGAUCCGAGUUAACUAGGACGUGUCCGAUCAUCACGUAAGACGGACUAGUCAACAUCGGUGAACAUCUUCAUGUUGAUCGUAUCUUCUAUAUGACUCAUGCUCGACCUUUCGGUCUUCUGUGUUCCGAGGCCAUGUCUGUACAUGCUAGGCUCGUCAAGUCAACCUAAGUGUUUGCAUGUGUAAAUCUGUCUUACACCCGUUGUAUGUGAACGUUGGAAUGAAUCUAACACCCGAUCAUCACGUGGUGCUUCGAAACAACGAACUGUCGCAAUGGUGCACAGUUAGGAGAAACACUUUCUUGAAAUUAUUAUGAGGGAUCAUCUUAUUUACUAUCGUUGUUCUAAGUAAACAAGAUGCAGAAACAUGAUAAACAUCACAUGCAAUCAAAUAGUGACAUGAUAUGGCCAAUAUCACAUAGCUCCUUUGAUCUCCAUCUUGGGGCUCCAUGAUCAUCUUGUCACCAGCAUGACACCAUGAUCUCCAUCAUCAUGAUCUCCAUCACAGUGUCUCCAUGAAGUUGCUCGCCAACUAUUACUUCUACUACUAUGGCUAACACGUUUAGCAAUAAAGUAAAGUAAUUUACAUGGCGUUUCUCAAUGAAACGCAGGUCAUACAAAAAAUAAAGACAACUCCUAUGGCUCCUGCCGGUUGUCAUACUCAUCGACAUGCAAGUCGUGAUUCCUAUUACAAUAGCAUGAGCAUCUCAUACAUCACAUGUAUAUCAUUCAUCAUUCAUCACAACUUUGGCCAUAUCACAUCACAGAACACUUGCUGCAAAAACAAGUUAGACGUCCUCUAAUUGUUGUUGCAAGUUUUACGUGGCUGCAAUAGGGUUCUAGCAAGAACGUUUUCUUACCUACGUGAAAGCCACAACAUGAUUUGUCAACUUCUAUUUACCCUUCAUAAGGACCCUUUUCAUCGAAUCCGCUCCAACUAAAGUGGGAGAGACAGACACCCGCCAGCCACCUUAUGCAACUUGUGCAUGUUAGUCGGUGGAACCGGUCUCACGUAAGCGUACGUGUAAGGUUGGUCCGGGCCGCUUCAUCCCACAAUACCGUUGAAGCAAGAUAAGACUAGUAGCGGCAAGAAAGUUGACAACAUCUACGCCCACAACAAAUUGUGUUCUACUCGUGCAAAGAGAACUACGCAUAGACCUAGCUCAUGAUGCCACUGUUGGGGAACGUUGCAGAAAACAAAAUUUUUCCUACGGUUUCACCAAGAUCCAUCUAGGAGUUCAUCUAGCAACGAGUGAUCGGAUUGCAUCUACGUACAUUGUAGAUCGCGAGCGGAAGCGUUCAAAGAACGGGGAUGAGGGAGUCGUACUCGACGUGAUCCAAAUCACCGGAGAUCCUAGCGCCGAACGGACGGCACCUCCGCGUUCAACAGACGUACGGUCAGCGUAACGUCUCCUUCCUCUUGAUCCAGCAAGGGGCAAGGAGAGGUUGAGGAAGAUGGCUCCAGCAGCAGCACGAUGGCGUGGUGGUGAUGGAGCUGCAGUACUCCGGCAGGGCUUCGCCAAGCUCUAUGGAGGAGGAUGUGUUGGAGAGGGAGAGGGAGGCACCAAAGGCAAAGGUAAGAGGUCCUCCAUCCUCCCCACUAUAUAUAGGGGGGCCUGGGGGGGGGGGCGCCGGCCCUAGGAGAUGCAAUCUCCUAGGGGGGCGGCGGCCAAGGGGUGGGGGACUUGCCCCCAAGCAAGGGGGCGCCCCCCCCUUUAGGGUUUCCCCCACCCUAGGCGCAUGGGCCCUAAGGGAAGUGGCGCCCCAGCCCACUUUGGGCUGGAUCCCUUCCCACUUCAGCCCAUGGGGCNNNNNNNNNNNNNNNNNNNNNNNNNNNNNNNNNNNNNNNNNNNNNNNNNNNNNNNNNNNNNNNNNNNNNNNNNNNNNNNNNNNNNNNNNNNNNNNNNNNNNNNNNNNNNNNNNNNNNNNNNNNNNNNNNNNNNNNNNNNNNNNNNNNNNNNNNNNNNNNNNNNNNNNNNNNNNNNNNNNNNNNNNNNNNNNNNNNNNNNNNNNNNNNNNNNNNNNNNNNNNNNNNNNNNNNNNNNNNNNNNNNNNNNNNNNNNNNNNNNNNNNNNNNNNNNNNNNNNNNNNNNNNNNNNNNNNNNNNNNNNNNNNNNNNNNNNNNNNNNNNNNNNNNNNNNNNNNNNNNNNNNNNNNNNNNNNNNNNNNNNNNNNNNNNNNNNNNNNNNNNNNNNNNNNNNNNNNNNNNNNNNNNNNNNNNNNNNNNNNNNNNNNNNNNNNNNNNNNNNNNNNNNNNNNNNNGGAAGAUGGCUCCAGCAGCAGCACGAUGGCGUGGUGGUGAUGGAGCUGCAGUACUCCGGCAGGGCUUCGCCAAGCUCUAUGGAGGAGGAUGUGUUGGAGAGGGAGAGGGAGGCACCAAAGGCAAAGGUAAGAGGUCCUCCAUCCUCCCCACUAUAUAUAGGGGGGCCUAGGGGGGGGGGCGCCGGCCCUAGGAGAUGCAAUCUCCUAGGGGGGCGGCGGCCAAGGGGUGGGGGACUUGCCCCCAAGCAAGGGGGCGCCCCCCCCUUUAGGGUUUCCCCCACCCUAGGCGCAUGGGCCCUAAGGGAAGUGGCGCCCCAGCCCACUUUGGGCUGGAUCCCUUCCCACUUCAGCCCAUGGGGCCCUCCGGGAUAGGUGGCCCCACCCGGUGGACCCCCGGGACCCUUCCGGUGGUCCCGGUACAAUACCGGUGACCCCGAAACUUGUCCCGAUAGCCGAAAUAGCACUUCCUAUAUAUAAUUCUUUACCUCCGGACCAUUCUGGAACUCCUCGUGAUGUCCGGGAUCUCAUCCGGGACCCCGAACAACAUUCGGGUUACUGCAUAUACAUAUCCCUAUAACCCUAGCGUCACCGAACCUUAAGUGUGUAGACCCUACAGGUUCGGGAGACAUGUAGACAUGACCGAGAUCGCUCUCCGGUCAAUAACCAACAGCGGGAUCUGGAUACCCAUGUUGGCUCCCACAUGCUCCUCGAUGAUCUCAUCGGAUGAACCACGAUGUCGAGGAUUCAAGCAACCCCGUAUACAAUUCCCUUCGUCAGUCGGUAUGUUACUUGCCCGAGAUUCGAUCGUCGGUAUCCCAAUACCUCGUUCAAUCUCGUUACCGGCAAAUCACUUUACUCUUACCGUAAUGCAUGAUCCCGUGACCAGACACUUGGUCACUUUGAGCUCAUUAUGAUGAUGCAUUACCGAGUGGGCCCAGUGAUACCUCUCCGUAAUACGGAGUGACAAAUCCCAGUCUUGAUCCGUGUCAACCCAACAGACACUUUCAGAGAUACCCGUAGUAUACCUUUAUAGUCACCCAGUUACGUUGUGACGUUUGGUACACCCAAAGCACUCCUACGGUAUCCGGGAGUUACACGAUCUCAUGGUCUAAAGGAAAAGAUACUUGACAUUGGAAAACUCUAGCAAACGAACUAUACGAUCUUGUGCUAUGUUUAGGAUUGGGUCUUGUCCAUCACAUCAUUCUCCUAAUGAUGUGAUCUCGUUAUCAAUGACAUCCAAUGUCCAUAGUCAGGAAACCAUGACUAUCUGUUGAUCAACGAGCUAGUCAACUAGAGGCUUACCGGGGACAUGUUGGUGUCUAAGUAUUCACACAUGUAUUAUGAUUUCCGGAUAACACAAUUAUAGCAUGAAUAAAAGACAAUUAUCAUGAACAAGGAAAUAUAAUAAUAAUGCUUUUAUUAUUGCCUCUAGGGCAUAUUUCCAACACUUUCCUCUACGAGGCAUCACCCUUUGUCACUCUUGCCCGCACACCUCCCCUCAAAACGAGAAGGCCGAGCACGGCAUUCGCUCCAUGAACGACAUUAUGCGCACACUCCUCCAAGCUCACAUGCCACCUUCGUUUUGGGUCGACGCCCUCAACACCACCACAUACUUACUGAAUUUCGCCCAUCCCGAGCCAUCGACCACAUCCCACCCUACUACGCCCUCUUUGGUACCUCUCCAGAUUACAGCUCCCUACGCACGUUCGUCUGCCUCUGCUACCAAAACCUCUAUGCCACUAUGCCCUACAAAUUAGCUCCCCGCUCCGUUCGCUGCAUUCUCCUCGGUAUGCCACUUGAGCAUAAAGGCUACAGGUGCCUGGACCUCUCCAAUCGAUGACUCAUUACCUCUAGACAUGUCAUUUUUUGACGAAAACACCUUCCCAUUCAUUGAUGCCCCGAGCGGCCACACGCCUGCACGAGCAGGGUCUGCUCCGGCCGCAGAAAAUCAAGCACCCACCUCCAUCCCCCUCGGAUCACCCACUCCACCAGUCACGCACCACCUCCCAUCCCCAAGCAUGCAGCCCGACCCCACCUCCCAAACCCAUGCAGUGAUUCACCCAUCACCUGCAUGCGGCGCGCCUCCCCUCGUGUCGACUCCACGCCUAGAUGCAGUAGCCCGCCACUUACGCCUCUGCAUGCAGCGCCCCUCACUCUAUGCCGCCCACGCAUGUAGUACGAUCCCACCCUGAGUCGUGCCGAUUUUACCUGCCAAAAACUUGCAUGCCAGGCGCACCUGCGCAAAGUCCAGUUUUCUGCAGCCAAAGAAGCUUCUGACCGUCGCUACCUCUCCCGCCCCCAUCUCUCCUAUUCCCGCAAACUACAAAGAAGCUCUCAAAGACCCCAACUGGUACAAUGUUAUGCUUGAAGAAUUUAACGCUUUGUUGCAAAGCAAAACGUGGUCUUUGGUUGCUUGCUCUGCAGGUGUCAACUUGGUGUCUGGGAAGUGGAUAUUCCGCCACAAGCUUCAUCUCGACGGCUCCCUCGCUCGGUACAAGGCGUGUUGGGUACUUCGUGGCUUCACAAAGCAGCCUGGCAUUGACUACGGGGAGACCUUCAGCCCCGUGUGGUGAAACCGGCCACCAUCCGCGUCAUCCUCAGUGUCGCCAUCAGUAACCGUUGGGCCAUUAACCAGCUGGACAUGAAGAACCCCUUCCUCCACGGCACUCUCGAUGAGCUCGUCUACAGUCAGCCGCCGGCUAGCUUCGUCGACACCGCACACCCCUCGACCAUGUGCAAACUCCAAAAGUCCUUGUAUGACUUAAGCAGGCUCCUCGUGCGUGGUUCCAGCGGUUCACCACAUUCCUUCUCUCGCUCGGCUUCACGGUGUCAAGAUCCGACACAUCCCUAUUUAUUCUCCGCCGUGGCACCUCAGUGGCAUACCUCUUGCUAUAUGUUGACGAUAUCAUUCUCACCGCUAGCUCCUCCGGGUUACUCACCAUCGUUACCGCCGCUCUCACCUCUGAGUUCUCCAUGGCGAACCUCAGCUCGCUCCACCACUUCCUUGGCGUCAAUGUUCAGUGCAGCCCCACUGGUUUGUUUCUUUCCGAGCAACAGUAUGCGCUCGAGAUCCUUGAUCGCGCCUCCAUGCUCAACUGCAAACCCAUCACUACCCCCGUCGACACCAAAGCAAAGCUCGCCACCUCGCCACCUCAGCUAACGACUCUGCUCCUGACCCAUCCCUCUUCCAUAGUCUCGCCGGUGCCCUGCAGUACCUCACGCUCAUGCGCCCGGACAUAGCCUACACCGUCCAGCAGGUGUGCCUCGUCAUGCACUCGCCGCGCAUGCUACACGCCGCCCUCCUCAAAUGUAUCAUGCGUUAUCUGCGUGGUACCACCCACCUUGGCCUUCAUAUUCGUCUGUCUGCUUCAUCCCAGCUCAUGUCUUACACAGACGCCGACUGGGCCGGUUGUCCCGACACCGUACCUGACGCUCGAUGUCUGGCUACUACAUGUACAUCGGUGACAACCUCGUCUCCUGGUCUUCGAAGCGACAAACCACCUUGUCGCGAUCGAGUGCGGAGGCAGAGUACCGAGCUGUCGCCAACGCGGUCACGGAGUCGUGUUGGCUACGAAGCUUCUUCAGGAUAUCGGAUGGCCUCCAUGGUGCUACCACUGUUUACUGAGACAACGUAUCGGUGACUGAAGGAAAUAUGCCCUAGAGGCAAUAAUAAAGUUAUUAUUUAUUUCCUUAUAUCAUGAUAAAUGUUUAUUAUUCAUUCUAGAAUUGUAUUAACGGAAACAUAAUACAUGUGUGAAUACAUAGACAAACAGAGUGUCACUAGUAUGCCUCUACUUGACUAGCUCGUUGAUCAAAGAUGGUUAUGUUUCCUAACCAUAGACAUGAGUUGUCAUUUGAUUAACGGGAUCACAUCAUUAGGAGAAUGAUGUGAUUGACUUGACCCAUUCCGUUAGCAUAGCACUUGAUCGUUUAGUUUGUUGUUAUUGCUUUCUUCAUGACUUAUACAUGUUCCUAUGAUUAUGAGAUUAUGCAACUCCCGUUUACCAGAGGAACACUUUGUGUGCUACCAAACGUCACAACGUAACUGGGUGAUUAUAAAGGUGCUCUACAGGUGUCUCCGAAGGUACUUGUUGGGUUGGCGUAUUUCGAGAUUAGGAUUUGUCACUCCGAUUGUCGGAGAGGUAUCUCUAGGCCCUAUCGGUAAUGCACAUCACUUAAGCCUUGCAAGCAUUGCAACUAAUGAGUUAGUUGCGGGAUGAUGUUUUACGGAACGAGUAAAGAGACUUGCCGGUAACGAGAUUGAACUAGGUAUUGAGAUACCGACGAUCGAAUCUCGGACAAGUAACAUACCGAUGACAAAGGAAAUAACGUAUGUUGUUAUGCGGUCUGACCGAUAAAGAUCUUCGUAGAAUAUGUGGGAGCCAAUAUGAGCAUCCAGGUUCCGCUAUUGGUUAUUGACCGGAGACAUGUCUCGGUCAUGUCUACAUAGUUCUCGAACCUGUAGGGUCCGCACGCUUAAAGUUUCGGUGACGAUUGUAUUAUGAGUUUAUGUGAUUUGAUGUACCGAAGGUAGUUUGGAGUCCCGGAUGAGAUCGGGGACAUGACGAGGAGUCUCAAAAUGGUCGAGACGUAAAGAUCGAUAUAUUGGACGACUAUAUUCGGACAUCGGAAAGGUUCCGAGUGAUUCGGGUAUUUUCGGGAGUACCGGGAGUUACGGGAAUACGAGGAAGAAGUAAUGGGCCUCAUGGACCAAGUGGUGGAAGAGAGGAGGCAGGGCGCGCGGCCCUCCUAGCCCAAACCGAAUUGGACUAGGGGGCCGGCCCCCCUUUCCUCCUUUUCCUCCUUCUCCUUCCUUCUCCUUCUCCUCCUUCCUUUCCUCCUCCUAGUAGGAGUAGGAAAGGGGAGUCCUACUCCUACUAGGAGGAGGACUCCUCCUCCUGGCGCGCCCAUAGAGGGCCGGUCGGCCUCCCCCCUUGCUCCUUUAUAUACAGGGGCAGGGGGGCACCUCUAGACACACAAGUUGAUCUUCGUGAUCGUUCCUUAGCCGUGUGUGGUGCCCCCUUCCACCAUAUUCCACCUCGGUCAUAUCGUAGCGGUGCUUAGGCGAAGCCCUGCGUCAGUAGAACAUCAUCACCGUCAUCACGCCGUCGUGCUGACGAAACUCUCCCUCAACACUCGGCUGGAUCGGAGCUCGAGGGACGUCACCGAGUUGAACGUGUGAGAACUCGGAGGUGCCGUACGUUCGGUACUUGGAUCGGUCGGAUCGGGAAGACGUACGACUACUUCCUCUACGUUGUGUCAACACUUCCGUUGCUGGUCUACGAGGGUACGUAGACGACACUCUCCCCUCUUAUUGCUAUGCAUCACCAUGUUCUUGCGUGUGCGUAGGAAAUUUUUUGAAAUUACUACGUUAUCCAACAAUGACGUACCUCUCCACCAACCCGGUACAACACCAACGCACCAAGCACGUGGAGAUUGAUCUUCAUUUCGUGCGCGACCGCGUUGUCUUCGGAGAUGUUCGUGUUCUGCAUGUUCCGGCAACCUCCCAGUUUGCCGACGUUUUCACCAAGGGGAUACCAACCGGCGUCUUGACAGAGUUCCGGUCCAGCCUCAAUGUCGUCGAAGACCCCGUUGCGGCUGUGGGGGGCUGCUGGAAUUGUAAAACGCCUCCUGCAUGUACAUUACCGGGUCCCUCGGCUGGACAGAUCGGCUCGCGCAAGUAGCAUGGGACACCUGCGUCUGUUACACACGAUCCCCUUCUCCGUUGCUUGUAGCUGCUGUACCUAGGCGUAUAUAUAUAACUCUGUACAAUCUGGAAUAGACACGGUGAAGAUCACCUUUCAACUGUUCGCACUGUGCGGCCAAACCUUGUUUGGCUGGGACUGACAAAUGAAAAUGAUGCACCCGAGCACAUCCAGAAGGAUCUGAACGCUCGCAGUCCAAACCAGCUUAUCGGCAUUGGUACAGAGUUGAGGCAAAACCGAGCAGUGAAGCAAGCUCCAGCAUUUUCAACAUGAAGGAAACGAAAAAGACGAAACAGGCUCCAACAUUCUCGUCAAAAAAGAUAAGAAAAGGAAAAAAGAAACAGGCUCCAGCAUUCUUGACACAAAAGAAAUGAAGAAGGAAAACGAAACAGGCUCAGGCAUUCUUGACACAAAAGAAAAGAAAAAGGAAAAGGAGAAAGGCUCCAAUAUUCUUGACAAAAUAGAGAAGCAAAAGAAAAAGGAAUCAGGCACAAGCAUCCUCGACACAGAAGAAAAGAAAAGGGAAAAGGAAAUUGGAUCCAGCAUUCUCGAUAAAAAGGAAGAGAAACAGGAAACAGGUUCAACCAUUCUCGACAAAAAGGAAAAGAAAAAGAAAACAGGCUCCGACAUUUUGGACAAAAGAGAAAAGAACAAGGAAACGAAAACAGGCUCCAGCAUUGAUCUCGACAAGAAAGAAAAGAAAAAAAUUUGAAAAGCAAGCUCCGUCAGAACGGUAACAGUAGCACCAAUGCUAAAGAAGAGCAAAUUGAACAGUAGCACCAAGGUGAAGGAAGCUCAAGACCGAUGAGAUGUCCUGGUUUCUAUAUAUCCAAUUAAUAUACCAUAUUUUAAUUAUUGUAACAAUAUGAUUGUAUUUUUUGUGAUGUAAUGAGUCGUUUGAUUCGAACCUCUGUUUGUUCAGUUUCUGCUUGCUGCUGUUGUAAUCACAAACCGUCAUGUCAAAUAAAUGGAGUGAAUAGCAAAAAACUACCAUAUUACGGGCUAUCGUUCCGGAAAACUAUCGCUUGUUUUAAUUUUUCAAAAAACUACCACAAAAGUGGCUGGCUGUUCCAAAAAACCCAAGUGGCCGAACGGUUAAGUUUUAACUGGGGUUAUGACAUGUGGGGCCCGCCCGUCAGGGUUUUGUCGGCCACAGUGCUCACGGCGCGCGGGUGACGGCCGUUAGGGCGCACGGCCCGUCCCGACGAGGUCAAAAUGGAUCCGGCCCUCACUCUGUCUCCCUCUCGCUCACUCACUCUCUCCCCCCUCACUCUCACUCUCCCCCCUCGCUCUGUUUCCCCUGGCCGAGCUCUCCAUCGUCGCUGACCACCUCAGUUCCUCGUCGCCGGCCAGGAUGCCUUCUUGGAAUGAUGGGGAUGAGAGCUCCGACGAUAGCAUGGGGGGCAACCUGAUGGACAUGGAGUACUUUGUAAGCCUCAUCGUCCUCCUCUCUGUCAUUAUCUAGGGUUAGGGUUGAAUCGAUUUGGGAAUGAGGGUUGAUGAGCUGUAUAUUUGUAUGCAUGGAUUCAUUUGGUUUGGUUAUCUAUUAGUUUUGAUCUAGGGUAUGGAUGGCACUGUGAUGUCUGAUCUGACCUUGAGCAAGGCAAAGCUUGACUCAAGUUGAACUAGUUGAUGCAUUGGUUCUGAUCUACCUUUUACUGCAUGUAGGACACACCUGACACCAUCCCUGAGCCACUCUGGUGUGGUGCUCCCAUGGAGGAAGUUGCCAAGUGUACUCUGCAUGAUAUGAAGCCUAGGAAGUGUGUUGCUUUUGAAGGUGCUAAGACUGGGAGGAGGUUCUAUGGAUGCCCUGUUCAGGUGAGUAAUUGAGUAUCCUGGGUGGAUUCAGUUAUGCCUAGUGGAUUCAGUUAUUCCUAGUGGUUACUGAAUUUGUACAUUAACUCUAUUUGAACUGAAUUUAGUACUGAAUUUAUGGUUACAUGUCCUCCUUGUGUACCAACCCUCUUUUUGAAUUGAAGUUAGAACUGAAUUUCUGCAUUUUCUGAAGUAUGUGUUCUCUGAUCAAACUACAGGGAGGUGUGAAUUGUGGUGUAGUUCAGUGGGUUGAUCCUGCCUGGCCUGAUGUACUUAAGAACUGCCUCAUCAAGUUGUGGGAAAUGUUCCAUGAGCAAAACCUUGGAAGGUUUCAAGACAAGCAUGCAUAUGAGGAUGAGGUUGCCAAGUUGAAGAAGGACUAUGAUCUGCUCUGCACUGAGUAUCAUAAAAUGGUUGAUGAUGUUAGCAAGAUGUUUGACUGGCAUGAUGGUGUUGGCAAGAUUGACUACCAAAAAGCAAUGGAUGCUGGGAAAUUUGAGAAGCAGAAGGAAGAGCUAGAGCUGGAGAUGAAGAUGGAGAAGCUAAGGCUAGCAAAAGAACAGAGGUGUAUCCUUCAGGCCCAGGCAGACAUAAUUCACAACACCAGGAAGGCAAUGAAAGAGAUAAAGGUGGACAGGGAUCUUUUUGCACAAGAGAAGACAAAGCUUGAGAAAGUAGUUGCUGAUCUGCUAAAUGCUGGCCAUGGGAGCAAGGAAAAGCUUGAGAAAAUCAAGGCCAUACUGGAGGCUUGAAGAUUUGGACAAUGGUGGUUAAGUAAGUAAGGUGGCCUACACAUAUAACAGGCCUUGCAAGAUGAUGGUAGGAGUAUAUUUUGUGCAGUCCUAUAUGAACUAUUUAAGUUAUGGUAACUAGAGUGGUGGAGAACCUUUGCUAAGUCUGGCUUAUGUUAUUGUACUGUUAAGAACCUAUCUAUCUUAAGUAAUGCAGUGAAGAACUGUUUUAUUUCUUUAGGUUGUUUUCCUGAAAGUAGCAAUGCUGAACUAGUAUAUUUUUGGGCCUAAAACCAUUAUGUACACAUUGUGGGCCUAGACUGGGCUGUUUUAUUACUCCACCUACCUACCACCAACCAUUAGUAGUCUAUAAAGCCCACCCCUUGAGUGAAACCGCAGUCAAUCCCCCCAUCCCCACCCUUCUCAACCCCCCAGCCGCCAAAGAAACCCUAGAAUCCAAGGGAGAGAUGGAUCCUGGAGAGGUCAUAGAUGGAGAAGAAGAGGUGCCCAGACAAGCCAGGCGCAGAGAUGCAAGGAGGAGGGCGAGAAGGCAACUUGCUGAGAUGAUCCUUGCAACACGCAACCGCAAGGACAUAAAGCAGUUCCUGGAGGCAUUCCCCCCUGGUUCCAACCCUAGUGAUGAUGAUAUCAUCUACUGGGCAAGGAGGAGGGCAAAUUUCCAUCCCUUUUAGGUCACUAGGCAAAGGUGGACUAGGAUUUUGUACCCAUGAUGCUGCUGUUAUGUUUCUUUGUUCCUAGAUCUGUCUUUCUAUCUAUGUGAUGUUUGAAGUUGGUGUAAGAACAAUGUUGAAUGAGCUAUGUAUGUGACGAAUCAAGUUGUCCAUGAUGCAAUGCAAUGUAUGAAGCUGGUGAAAGAAAAAUGUUGAAUGAUCUAUCUAUGUGAUGAAUCAAUCUGUCUAUGAUGCAAUUUAUGAGUGAAUCUUUUAUCUAUAUUUGUAUGUAUGAAUGAAUUGAUCUGGUGAUCUUGAUGUUUUAAGUUAGAUAUGUUAUGGUUUGUUCAGAUGGCCAUAUCUUGUUGUUUUAGGUUUGAUCUCUUAGGGUUUGGUGCCUAGAUGGGAAAAUCUUGAUGUUUUAGCUUUGAUAUGUUAGGUUUUGGUCCUAGAUAGCCACUUUGGGGUUGGUCAACAAGUAGCCACCCAAAGUGGCCAAAUUUGGGUGGCUUUAGGGUUGGUCGACAAGUUCCACCCCAAAGUGGCCAAAUGUGGCCACUUUGGGGUUGGUCGACAAGUAGCCCCCCAAAGUGACCAAAUUGACCUAAUCAUAUCAAUCAAUUAUCAACAAAAUAAAUCACUUGAUCUACAUAACAAUGCUCAGCAUAAGAAAUAAUUUCAUAUGAAACAAUUCAUAACCUAGGACAUAUCAAAUCAAAAUAAAGCUUGACAACAGAUAACUUAAUUGUUCCAAGCAGUUCAAACACAGACCAUAUAACUUAAUUGUUCCAAGCAGUUCAUACAUAGACCACAUAACUUAAUUGUUCAAAUGAAAAAAAAGUUCACUGCAAAUAACACAGAUAGCAAGCAUGCCUAGCAAGUAGAGUUCAAGGCAUAAAGCAUAGUUGAGUGCAACACAUUCAAUGGUUGCCACUGGCUGUGAAAUACAAAGCAAGUUUGCUUGGGGCCUUCCUCUUCCUCUUAGAACCAACAUCAGCUUGACCUGAUGUUGAUGCUGCCCUUGGAGCAUUGAAACCUCUUGCACUUGACCUGGUGUUCUUUACUGGAGAUGAUGCACUUGACCUGGUGUUGUUGGCUGGUGCUGAAGCAGGUGGUGGGUUCUUUCUCUUUCUUGAUCCACCUGUUGAAACUGCAGUAGAUGUGGUUGCCCUUGUUGUAGCAGAUGUGGUUGACCUUGUUGAAGUUGUUGCUAGUUUCCUGCCCCUAAGUGGUCCUAAAGCUGGAGCUGGACCUGAAGCUGGAGCUGGACUUGAAGCUGGAGCUGGACCUGAUGAUGUGGCCUGGUGGUUGUUUUUCCUUGUCAUAAACUUGGCCUUAAGUCCGUCUCCAUAGAUUGUCCACCUGUGGCCUUGCAGACCACAGUUACUGCAUGUUAUUGUGCCCAUCCUUGAUGUAUCCUUUGGAGCUGGCACCUCAAAUUCACCCUUUCUCCUAGCUGUCUGCUUCUUGCCUUUCUUCUCCCUGAAAACUGGUGGUUCUAUGUCUGGUGUGUUGGUGUUGGGCCAGAAUUCAGGGCCAGGGACAGGGUAGAUGAUGUGCUGGUAUGCAGCCUUAUACAUUGGCUUCUUAAAGAAUGGAUGCACAUAAUCUUCUGGGUGAACUUUUAUCUUCUGCAUUGCAGAUAUUGCAUGGUGGCAAGGUGAUCCAGUCAUGUCCCACCUCCUGCAAGAGCAGCUCCCUACAUCAAGCUUCACACAAUAUGUGUUCUCUCCACUAGUUACUUGCCAGAUGUUGGGACCAGCCAUGUUUGCUUCACAGUAUUUAGCCCACUUCUUGCUCUCCUCAAGCUUCUCCAUGUAAUCUGGGGUUAUUUCCCACCUACAGCUCUCUGUUUUCUCUCUGAUGCCCUGGUACUUAACCAUUAGUUUGGUCCUCAACCCUUCAAACAUGGUCUUAAUUAGUUUUGACCUAACAUCUAGAAUCAUUUUUUUGAAAACCUCACUAAGGUUGUUCACUACCAAGUCAGUCUUGCACACAUGAUCCAUUGCAUAUCUAGCCCAACACUCCUUAGGGAUGCCAUUCAACCACAUGUAGGCUGGUUCACAUGCUGCUUUCAAACCUGCCAUUCCUUCUUUGUGACCAUGUUUAGUGAAGGAAUAGCUAGCUUUGUCAACCCAUUUCUUAAGUUCUUCUGCUCUAAAGCCAGCUGACUGGAAGUUGGCAUAUAUGUGUCUUAGGCAAUAUCUUUGUGGGGAUUGAGGAAAUACUUCAUUAAUUGCUUUAAGAAGGCCCUGUUGUUUGAUUACAUAAGGUAGUAAUGAGAUAACUAUAGCAGCAUUGCUAUGUGCAUAAGAAUAAUACAGAGCCAGAGAAAAUACCUUCUGCCUGUCAGACAUGAUGGUGUAGUUUCCAAACUGGUUGCUGGUGCCAAUGCAGACUCUAAGUUGGUUUAAAAACCAGGUCCAGCUAGGCCCAUCCUCUUUGUCAACCACCCCAAAAGCAAUUGGGAACACAUUGUUGUUCCCAUCUCUCCCAGUUGCUACCAAUAUCUGUUGGCCUGUGGAUAACUUGAUGAAGCAACCAUCAAGUCUUGCAUAAACAGAGAUAGUUAGGGCAAAAUUGAAUAACUUGAUUACAUUUGUAACAUGAUUAAAUCACUGAUUUGUACCUAUGAAAGGCCUACAACCAGCAAGAAAUCCAUCUUUUGAUGCCUGGAGGCAAUAGAACAUGUACUUGAACCUUGGUGUGGGGGCUGGGUUCAAAGGAUCCUCAAAAGUUGUCACUAUGCACCUGCUUCCAGGGUUUGUGUCAAGCACACAUUGUAGGUAGUCCCUCAACCUCAGAUACUGCUUUCUAUGAUCACCUUGCACAACAUCAACAGCCAUCAGUCUUGCCCUAUAUGCCAAACUCCUAGGUACAUGCACCCCAAACUUCUUCUUAGUAUGUUUGAGAACUGUCUCUACAUCAGCCUUUACAUUUGAUCUAACUGUGUCCUCCACAGCUUCUGCAACCCAUUCAGCAGUAACCUUUGUACUCUCUCCACAAGCUCCACAACUAUGAUCCAUGUGGCACUUCUUGAUUGUGAAUGUAUCUUCAUGGGCUACUUUGGAUGCAGUCAUGAAAAAAUCACAUCCAUUCUUCCUCUCUGGGCACCAAACAAUAACCCUUGAUGGUUCAUUCCUAUGGUACUGAAAGUUUCUCAAAGUCCUAACAUGAAAAUUUCUCAAUGCCUUUCUAAACUCAUACACAUUGGUGAAGCAAAGGUCCUUGCACAGCUGCUCAUGUGCAUCAGGUACCUUUGGGUCAUACCAUUUCCUCUCUUUCUUCUUCUUCAAUCUUCUCUUCCUUCCAGAAGGUAGUCUUGGAGUCUCCCCAUCUGAGUCAGAAAUGCCCAUAUCACCAGGGAAGCAAUACUCAUCAGCUUCAAGUACAAAAUCUUGAAACUUUGGGAUCUCUGGCUGACUGUGAGCUCUGGAAGUUGGACCUGGAUUUGCUACUGCUCUUCUCACAGGCUUGAGUUUCUCAGGCCUGCAUUUUUCCACAACUAUUUCCUCUCCACUGUCUGCCUCUUUCUCCUCCUGCCAAAACUCUGAAACAUCACUGUCACCUUCAAACUGUGGUCUGUCUUCUAUAGCAUCUCUUUCUUCUUCAUUUCCAAUAUUUUCUUCACCUCUCUUCCAAGCCUUGUAAGACAUCUUUAUCCCUCUAUAGUCACCCCUAUCAAUCUCAAAGUCUGAGGAUGAUUUGUCAAUAUCAUCAUCCUCUUGACCAGCAGCCUGUCCAUCAUCAUCUCCACCAUUAGCUUCUGAAAUGUUGAAGUUACAGCUUUGCUGUGUGUUCAAAUUAACUUCAAGAGGGUGGACCACUCCAUCUUGUGACAGACUUAACACAAAACCAGGACCCCCCAGUGGGUUGCCUAUUGGAAUUUGUUCUUCACAAACAUUGUGAGCCCUGUUACAUUCAACAUCUCUAUCUUCAUUUGCCUUGGAAACAAUGAUAUUGAGCACUGUGAAAUCUAAGUGGUCUAUCAUUUCUUCAACUGCAUCUUGACUGUCCAAAAGAAAUAAACCUUCCUGUCCAAUCCCUUGUUCUUUUACCCAGUACAUGUAGUCAUCUGACCCAUAGCCUUCAGUCUCAGUAAGUGCUAUCAAGUUCAGAAAUGUGAUGUCUGAAACAGAAAACCUCCUUUCCAUAUUAUCUCUGCCCUGGAAAUGCAGCCUAACAUCCCAAACUUCAUCAUCUAGCCUGCAUUACAUAAUAUGUUAUUUGAAAAGCCCAACUAAGUAAGUGUUUUUGCUACAAAUAUUCAGUGCACACUACUAUAAAGUACAGUAAGGAAUCUGAAUCCAAAAAAUGCUUCUCUGAAUCCACCAUGCAUUUCUACUAAAUCUAACUAAUCCUUCAGUGCUAAGUGAUACUGUUGCAUCCAAAACAUGCCACAGAGUGUUUGCUCAACUAUUAUUCAGUGCAUGUUCAUGUUCUAAGAUGAAUCACAGCAGCAUCAACCUAGGGUUUGGUCAAAAAACUAACUAAAUUAUGCUAUGUUAUUUGAAAUGAACAAGCAGAAAUGCAGAAACUGUUGAAGGAGCUCAUAAGAGGAAAAAAACUUACUCCACCCCUCCAAAUGCAGAGGCCCAGUGCUGGGAGUUGGCCGGAUCUGCCUGCACAGCCCUAUCAAGAGACCUCGCUGCUCUGUACUCAAGCGAGAACUGGCAAUCAUCAGGCGACGGUGGUGUAGCCUGUGUCGUAGGAGCCUGCAUCAGAGCUGCAGCCUGUGGUGUCCGCUGCGGCGGCGGCGGCGCCGCCGGCUAGGUUGCGAAGCUACCACUCCCCAGCCAGUUAUCAACCUCUAAGAACUCGCCGCCUCCAUCCCCCCUUCCACCUCCACCCGUUGAAUGGCCGCCAUCGCCUAGUUUCGCCGCCGCCGCCGCCAUCGGAGAGGGAGGCGCGCACAAGAGAGAGGGAGACAGAGAGGGGGAAGACAGAGUGAGGGCGGGCCGGAUCCAUUUGACUUGGUCGGGACGGCCCGUGUGCCCUAACGGCCGUCACCCGCGCGCCGUGAGCACUGUGGCCGACAAAACCCUGACGGGCGGGCCCCACAUGUCAUAACCCCAGUUAAAACUUAACCGUUCGGCCACUUGGGUUUUUUGGAACAGCCAGCCACUUUUGUGGUAGUUUUUUGAAAAAUUAAAAAAAGCGGUAGUUUUCCGGAACGAUAGCCUGUAAUGUGGUAGUUUUUUGCUAUUUACUCCAAAUAAAUGCUUAAAAAGAGUGCAUCUAAUGGAGUAGUACAAAAUGGUAAAGAAAAUAAAUCAGCCACUAAUGGAGUAACAAAGGUGAUAGCACGGAGUUUGGUAGGCACCGACAAUGAGUAAGCAGGCUGAGGCCACCGGUGCACGAAGAGGAUCAGAAGCGCUGGUUGGGGCUGUGGUUUGGGGCGGCUGCGAUGAAACUUCUUAUUCAACGCUUAUAGCACCGUUUACAGUGUUAUCGGUACCUUUUUUUUGAGGGAAAGAGCCAACUUUAUUAAUCAAAAUCCACAGUGCGUGGGACACAACGAUGGUCAUGGGGCUGGCCAAGCCACACAUGACGCCCUGGUGGUAGCGAUAAAGAAAACCUAGCUAUCUCGUGAGCUUCAGCAUUCUGAGCUCGACUCUCAAAGGUGAAAUUACAUAAAAGUGGUGAUGAGCUCAUCUUUAUCUCUCUGAUUAUAGCUCCAUAAGUGCCAUGACUACCCAUAGCAAUGUCGCCAAUGACUUGUUUGCAGUCCGAAGCCACCACAAAACGUUGCACAUUAAGAUCUUGUGCUAGGGAAAUAGCCUCCCGACAUGCUAUGGCCUCCAGUGUCGCGGGGUCGCAAACUCCGACAAUGACAAGUGAUGAGCUCCCCAUAUAGACACCCUGGCUGUCACUGCAUAUGGCCGCGGCCGUGCCACCCCUCUGAAAUCUUACUGCCACGUCAACAUGAACCUUAGCAUAGCCAGCAGGUGGAGCCUUCAGCCUCUGAGUAGAAGCGUGGCCAGUAGCUGCAGAACGUACGUUGAUCUUUGCAGGGAGUGAGGCAGUAGCCAAAUCAGCCAUGAAGCGAGUUAUAAACUCCUUCGUCGCCCUGGGUGAUUGGAAUAUUGAUUCAUGGAUAGCUUUUCUCCUCGAGGUCCAGAUCGCCCAUAAGGUGACCGCCAGCAGAGUGAACUUCUCAUGUGUUAGCAUAUCCAUUAAUCCAAAGAGCCAGCUCUUCGCCCUCGUCUCCGUUGAUGCGACCAGACUGCAGCCCAAGUCCUCAUCUACCAACGCCCAUAUGCAUCUGGAGACUGUGCACUCCAGGAGGGAAUGACUCCAUGAAUCAGGAGAACCGCAGAGGCCGCACGAGCUAGUCGUUGACAUAUUACGAUGGGCCCUCACAUCCUCCGUCGGUAGUGACUGUUUUGAUAAACGCCAUAGAAACAUGCGUACUUUUGCUGGUACCACAGUUUUCCAGAGGGACUUCCAAGAGGCUUCAUCGACAUGGUUGCUGGAUGAUGCGCCGGAGCCCUCUAGCCACGCCUCUCGCCGUUGCUUCAUAGAUACCAACAUAUUAUAGGCUGACCUGACUGUGAAUUGUCCGGUUCUCUCGUGCAUCCAGCUCCAAAAGUCCUGCAUAGGAGCCGUACACAACGGGAUACCCAUGAUGAUUUUAGCAUCGAAAGGCAAGAAAGUUGCUUCCACCACAGAUCUCUUCCAUGAAGCAUUAGUUGCAUCGAUCAGUUCAGAUACUGUGUUGGGAGGAUUACUUACGCAACAACCAUACGGUCUCAUCAUCUCUGACCGGGGAAGCCAGUUUUCGGUCCAAAUGCUGGUGCUCGCCCCAUCUCCUAUCCGCUUGAUCAGUCCCAAUUUAAGAAUAUCCCGGCCUUCCACUAUGGCUCUCCAUAUCUGACUUGGAUGGUUCCCAAGUGUUGCCUCAAGUAUAGAUGUAUGUGGAAAAUAUACGCUCUUCAGAAUCCGUGCACUCAGAGACUCGGGGUCUUGUAACAUUCUCCAUGCCUGCCUGGCUAACAUGGCAAGAUUGAAAAGCUCAAAAUCUUUGAAUCCAAGGCCUCCCAUGCUUUUUGGUUGUGUCAUUGCUUCCCAAGAGACCCAGUGAGGUUUGCGUUGGCCGUUUGAGCUCCCCCACCAAAAUUUCCUUAUUAGCAUAUUGAGGUGCUCACAUAACCCCCUAGGUAGUUUGAAACAAGACAUGGAAAAUACCGGCACUGACUGGGCAACAGAUUUGACUAGUACCUCUUUUCCUGCCGCCGACAAAGUUCUCUCUAUCCAUCCCUGAAUUUUGCUCCAUAAUCUGUCCUUCAAAUAUUUGAAGGCACCGUUUUUUGAACUCCCUAUAUCAGAUGGCAUGCCCAGAUACUUCUCAUUCAAGGUUUCCUUGGGGACAUUGAACAUACCUUUUAUAGCAUUGCGAGUUUCCUCAGAAACGCCUUUACUAAAGAAAAUUGAGGAUUUGUUGUAGUUGAUUCUUUGACCUGAAGCUUGGCUAUAAAUUUCCAACAACUGGUUAACCUCUGUAGCACCCGCACUGUUGGCCUUGAAGAACAGCAGGCUGUCAUCAGCGAAUAGAAGAUGGUUAACUAGUGGUGCCUGCAGCGCCACCUGAAUCCCACCCAAGUUUGAUGACUCACUUUGUGAUUUGAAAAGGCACGACAUGCCCUCUGCUGCUAACAAGAACAAGUACGGUGAUAUUGGGUCACCUUGUCGGAUUCCACGUGAUGGGUUGAACUCCUCAAGUUUCUUUCCAUUGAACAUGACUGCGAAUUUUACUGAGGUAACCAUGCCCAUUACAAUAUCCACCCACCUUCUGUUAAAACCCAAUAUAAUCAUGAUGGCUUAGAGAUAAGCCCAUUCAACUCGAUCAUACGCCUUCAUCAUAUCCAAUUUCAGAGCACAUGAGUGAUUUUUCUUUUCCUUGUUCCUCUUCAUGAAAUGCAAUCACUCAUAUGCCGUUAUUAUGUUGUCUGUGAUCAAUCUCCCCGGAACAAAGGCUGAUUGUUCAGCAGAAAUUAUAUCUGGCAGUAUCUGUUUGAGUCUGUUGGAGAUUACCUUGGACGCUAUUUUAUAGAGCACGUUACAUAAACUUAUGGGCCGAAACUGGGCAAGGAGUGUGGGGUUUUUGACCUUGGGGAUGAGAACCAGCACCGUAUUGUUAAUGCAUGCUGCUGACUCUGUCCCGUCCACAAUUUUGAGUACCACUUUCGUUACAUCUGCACCGCAUACAUCCCAGUGGCGCUGAAAGAAGUGAGCGGGGAAUCCAUCCGGGCCAGGGGCUUUGAUUGGAAACAUUUGGAACAACACACUUUUCACUUCAUCGUGUGUGUAAGGAGCAUUCAGACGAUCGUUCAUUGCCUGCGUUACUUUAGUAGAUACUGACUCCAGUACCCUAUCCAUGCCCUGUACUCCCUCGGUUGUGUAUAAGUUUUUGUAAAAUUCGGUGGUAAGCUCCUCCAUCUCCUCCCUGUCCUCGGUCAGCUAUCCAUCCGAUCGCUGCAACAAUUUUAUCUGGUUCUUCCGGCGGCGGCGGCUCGCUCGCAGGUGAAAAGAAUAAGUGUUUUUGUCACCAUGGACCAGCCAAUCCAGUCGAGCGCGUUGGCGCCACAUCAAUUCCUCUCUAUCAAACAGUUCGACCAGUCUGUCAGCUAUCUUGGUUUCAGUGUUUGUCGGUCCCGUCCGUCCUGGCGCUGAACGCAUGACCUCAAGCUGGCGUUGGAGUUGGCGAAUCUCCAUACGCACCGAUCCGAAGUUGUUGCGGUCCCACGCUGACAAAUCUCCCGCCAGGUUCCCUAGUUUUGCAUGUAUGCCCUCAACCGAUUCUCCAUCCUGCAGACUCCAGCUAUCACGCACAGUGUCAAACAGUGUUUCGUCCCUUUCCCACAUCGUCUCAUAUUUAAAAGCCUUGUGGCCCAUUUUGCAUGCAUGCAACUCACGUAGCUGAAGAAGAAUAGGAAUGUGAUCUGAACUAGCAGCACUUUUGUGCGAUAGCUGUGAUGAUGCGAGGGCGAGAGUCCAUUCUGUAUUUACCAGGCACCUGUCCAGCCUAACCUGGGUGUAGGUGCCUCCUGUGACCCUUUUUUCAAAUGUCCAACUAGUGCCAGAGUAUCCAAUAUCUGAUAACCCACAUGUAUCAACUGCUUCCCUGAAUGCUUCUAUUUGGGCUUGGCUUCGUUGUCCCACACCAUCAUGUUCAUGGCUGUGAAGAACCUCAUUAAAAUCUUCCAUGACUGCCCACGGUCUGUUCUGCGUCUCAGCAAUACCGCGCAGGGUGUCCCAUGUUUUGUAUCUCUCUGGUACCUGGGCUUCGCCAUAGACAAAGGUAAUUCUUACCUGCAAAUCAACUAAGUCAUCAACAAGAAUAUCAAUGUGAUACUUUGAGUAAUCGAUAACUUCCACUUUUAUUUCAUCGUUCCAAAAAAUUCCAAGUCCACCACUUCUACCGGAACUACUAACUGCAAAGCUUUUAUUGUAGCCUAUGCUAUCAGCCAUACUCUCAACCCUCUUUCCCUCUAUUUGAGUUUCAAGAAUACAAACAAUAGAGGGGGCAAACUGCCUCGCUAGAUCGUGAAGCUCUCUAACUGUCGCGGCUUUGCCAAUCCCGCGAAAGUUCCAGCAAAGAAGACUCAUUGCGCUAGGCGCGGCCCCGCUUCGGAGCCCGCCACAUGCGCAUCAGGGUUUUUGGUAGAAACUGUGCUCUUCUCCAGAGCUGACUCAUUAGACGAGGUUGACUUCAAUCUUUUCAGAUCCUGCUUGGGAGGAGGGCUAAGGGGCACCGCAGGUGAUGGCAGAAACAGUUGCUUCGUCUGUUGUACCGAAUAGGUUGGGAACGUGGUUUUUGGAUCAUGUGCCCCUCUCUUCCUGUUGCGAUCAACCUCAGUCAUUGCUACAUCUCCGUCUCGCUGAUCACGUUCCUGGUGAUGUUGAUCAUCAAACGAGUCUGCACUAUUGGGCGAUCGUCCUCUUCCUCUUCCCCCACGGCCUCUGCCGCGACCUCUCCCUGCAUUGCUGCUCUCGCCUUGAUAUCUUUGAAGACCAGAGUCUUUGGGGCAUGAACCCCGUCCCCGCACUCUUUGUGUUGGUGACCUAGAUGUCCACAAACUGCACACCAGUCCGGCAGUCUUUCAUAUUUGACUCUAAAGAUGACUCGUUCCACCGAAUCCUUUUUCCUUAUUACCAGUGAAACAACGUUCUUCAAAGGUUUAGUGACAUCGAUCCUGACUCAAACUCUAGCAAAGUUACCUUCAAAAUCCGGGGAUCUAGGCUCUGCAUAUAUGAAUUCUCCCAUAGUAGCAGACAUAGCUUUGACCUUAGAAAAGAAGCCAUCGGGCAGGUCGUGAAUCUGGAUCCAAAUUUCCAAUUUGUUGAGCUCUAUAGACGACGGCUUUGUGAAGCCAUCAUACUCUGCCAGAACUACUGCUUUCCCCUUGAAAUUCCAGGGGCCAUCUCCCAUAACCCUCUCCCAGUCACCCAGGCACGAGAAUUGCAUUGAGUACAGAUUAUCUUCCAGUGGUCUGAUCUUUACCUCUUGAGCUAGGUCCCAGGCCACUCUCAUAUUCCUAUAAAACCAAUAUUGGCUGUAUGUUUUCUCCGUGUGAACCCUAGCCAACGCCAUCCAGCGUGUUUCUUCCUUCGGCAGCUCGGUGUCUUCCACCACAACAUCAAUCAGAUCAUCUUCUUUCAGUCCAAGUUCCUCCAUCAUCGCAGCCAGAUUGGACGCAGUUGUACUUGAUCCAGAUGCAGUCGAACUCAUCAUGCGCUCGCUCGAGGUUAGGGUUCCGCGAGCGGUAGGUCCCAAGGAGUCACCACCCGCCCAGAACGCCGCGGCGGCCGAAGGCCACAGCGAUCGCCGGAAGGGGGUUAACAUCCGGGGAGGAAAAGUCCCUACGGUGUCGGCGUCGCCGUCGCUCGAGGGAAGAGAAAAACCCUAACGAGAGGGGAAACUUAGGAGGGAGAUUAGUGUUAUCGGUACCUGCCGCCCACACUACUUUAGAUAGCUAAUUGUAACUGGGCUGGCCCAUAUGUGUGAGCCCUCCUCCAUUACCGGUUGUGAAGGAAUUUCCUAUUCAACGCUUAUACCAUUUGUUAUAGUGUUUUCCUUUUGUUACAGUGUUAUCCGGGGACCUCCUACUUGGUCACCUGCGCGCAAAGUAGGAGGGAACGUGCACCCUUGGCUCCCAUGUAAGAGUUUUUCCCGCCCUAUUUUUAUUAUUUCAUUUUUAUGCCUUUUGUUUUUUCAUUUCUGUUUGUGUUUUUCUUCUUUAAAUAAUGUGUGGUUAAAAAAAUUCCCAAUUUCAAAACAAUACCAAAAUUGUUUGACAAAUCAGGAAAUAUUUGUGAAUUAAAAAUUGUUGAUGACUCUUCACUUCAGUGUCUCGACCCACCGGAACAAAAGCCGUGUGUACAAAUUGUGUUCGAAGCUUAUCGUAAACUGGCUUAGCAAGUGUAGUCUUGCCAAGUCUGCCUGGUCCAACAAUUGAGACCAUCUUCAUCUUGUGCUGCUGUUGCUUGAGACCAUGUGUGAGCCUCUUGGUUAGCUUGUUCCAUGCAUCUUCAAUGCCAACGAGCUCUUUCUGAUCAUUGUACAAAGCCAAUACACGAGGGUCAACCUUCUGUUUGCUAGCUGGAUUAGGAACAUCAUUGACCCUGUAUCUGGCACGCCGGCCAGCCAUCUCUUGAGAGCGGUUCUUGAUGUACCUGAUUGCAUCUCCGAUCUGAUGGCGAGUCUUGCCUUUUGUGAACAAGUUGGCCAUCUUCCCUACCUAUCAUUUGAUCAUGUUUGAGUUGGGGACGGCAUCAGAUUCAUAUCCCUCGACGGACACUAGGAAGUUAUCGAUGACAUCCUCCAUGUCAUACGACAGCUCCCUUUUAGGGAUUCAUGUCCCUUGGAAUCUCCGCCACCUUUACGAGGGCAGCGUUCAAGCUCUUCAUGUCCCUCUGGAGGGACUCGACGUACCGAAUAAAUGGGAGUUAGAGGACAGGAAUCUGUUGUAGGAAAGACAAAGGAAAUUGUUCUCCAUCGCCGUCCGGUUCCACUGGGAAAAAAUUACAUCCACUGCAACACCAAGACCGCAUGCUUACCGAGUAGUAGUAGAAGCAGCAGAGCUGAGUAAGGCACCCACUACCGAAUGCAGGGAUAAAUCCAGCACCAAGUAAGCAGCUCACAAGUGAGAGACGGCAUGCGCUUUGCGAACGGAAGGACAGGAGCAGAAAACAUUUUGGGAGAAAGAUCGACGUGGCUCAGAAAAUUGAAGGCGGUCUACUCCUCCUGAUUGAAGCCGGCGACUACACAAGCGCCAUGGUUUGAUGGAGCAAGAGAAAUGGUGUUGAACCCCCAACUCGUUCCAUUUCUAGCAGAAAAGUAGGGCAAUAAUUGAGUGGUGGUAUGUUAUUAGUGCUGGUAAUGGAGUAGGAAGCACCCUAGAAGUGCACCAACUAGUACAUCAAAAUACUCCUGCCAGUGGCGGUGGUAGAUCAUUCAUGUGUACUACUCGAUCGUAACAAGAACAAUUACAUGAACCAGCUUGUGCCACUAGUAAUAAUAUUUAGCUUAUUUUUACAUUAAGUUUUGCAAUGAAUAAUAUUUAGGUUAUUAAAAAGACUAUAGUUUAAUGGAUGGCCCAGAUUUGGAAAUAUUACUGCAGAUUUUUGGUAGUAAUAGACUUGCUUCACUUGUCGAUUUAUAUGAUCUGUCGCUUUCAGCGACGUUUGGGGCUGUGAUUUGGGUUUGUUGUCAUUGAAAUUGCACAACUAUAGAAACUGGAUUCUUUUUUAUUAUUAUAGUGAGCACAAGGAAUCAUGUUACUAGUUGAAUUCAUAGAAAAAGACUCCAUUCAGACUCUGUCCUGCUCCAUGAAAAUAUCCUAUCAGAUAGACGCAGAGCGGUACAUAUACAGACUCAGGUUUCUUGAAAUCUAAUGCAACCAAGUCUUGUACAAUGGUCACAUGUUAUGUGACCUGAACCAAUUAUGGGUUUGCACUUGAUAAUUCCCGCACGAACCACAUGUAAACAUGGUUCGAAGGCUUGAAUAACAAUGUAAAAUUGAUGUCAAGUUUUCCCGACUUGAUUCCUGUCUAGGUUGGAGUCAUCAGUCUACUUGAAGCACUCGUUUUUCUCAUCUACGUUGGAGGACUGAUUGGAGCAUGAAUUAGUUGAGGAGAUAGAAACCCAUUUUUGGCGAGGGAGAGGACAGAAACCCAUGACACAACAAGGUUUUCAUGAUCAUCAUUGGCUAACUUCAAAGUUCCAACAGAGUGCCAACUACCAAGUGAGUAGCAGUACAAGGCACUGUUCAGCUGAAUCAAUCUUUACAACAUUAACCUAUCAUUCACUGGCGUUUCAUACCCAGAAUUGACUCUUAUAACAGUACAGAAGCAAACCCCUACUUCGAGUCAGUGUUGCUCUGUACUUUUUUUAACGGAGGUUAUAACUACGGCCUCUUUAUUUAUUAUUCAGCGGCCAUCUUUAUUUAUUAUUCCACCAAAGUCUAACAAAAACAUACAUCAAGCUACUCGAAGACAUCACUCACACCUACAAAACUCGAAAAUGUAGAGUGCUCUCACACUCCUCAUAUCUAAACCGGUAUCGUCGCUGAUCCAUCCACAUAACGUGUCGGAACGAACAGCCAGUGCAGCAGACCUAAAGCGCACACCACAUGCACAUGUUUUAGACGCCGCCAUCAUCUGCAGACCGCUGACCCAUCUUCAGGAGAGAGAUCCACAUCAUCCUUGCCAGUCCGUCCAUCCAGUCCCUCCCUCCUCUCGGCCUCCCUAUUAUCCCUCCUCACCCUCUGCUGCUGAUCUGUGGCGGCCUCUCCAAUAGCUCUGUGGCCUUCUUUCGCUGCCGCACCGGCCCGAGCGUUGUCGCUUGCAAGCCGUCCGGAGGCCACAAUGGCGCUCUCCCGUCGGGACUUUGCCACAUUCCAGCAUAUCAGUUGCUCUGUCAUGGGGAUCUGUCCUGCUCCUAGCCGUGUCUCCCGCGAUGGUGGUAGACCUGACUUGUACUACAAUGUUCUUUGGUCGCACGGCUGGCCACGGCGGUUUGCUCCGUUCCUUUGUAUCUAUGUUGCAGCUUCAAUUGUGUUAUGCAUGUCAUGGAUGUAUUAUAAUUCUGGGAUGCAUGUAAUUGUAUUGCUAUGAAUCUUAAAAUUGCUAGGUGUUCCAUGAACCAAUGAAUAUGCUAGAAAAUAUUACUCUGUCAUAUAUAUGUUAGAAAAUGUUCUCGUCGGGCCGGGUUUCUCUGCCCUAGAGAACAUAUUCUACAUGUUAUAUGCGACAAUGUAGUGAUGAAUAUUUCACCGGAAAUAGUGUAAAUGCAACCAACUCCCCCAUUAGGAGACAGAGUGGAAUAUUGUUUGACGAUAGACUUGGUUUAUGCAUAUUCGACGCACGUUUGAAUUUUUUCUCCCGAGCCACAAGAAAGCUCCUCGCGCGACCGCGUCCGUCCCUCAUGGGCGGCCGGCCGCGCUGUCCAUCCCUCCUUCCCAGCGCUCUCCCCCACCCUCUCUCUCCCCACCGUUGCCGGGGUGCAUCCCCGGGCUCGGCUCGGGCGGCGCCGGCGGUGCGGCCCACGGCUUUCCCCCCUGCGGCAGAUCCUGUGCGGGGCGGCGCUGCUUAAGGAGGUGCUCUCAGGUGGCGAUGGUUCGGCGCUGCGGUGGGCUGGUUCGCCGCUGACUUCGGUGGUCAGAGGCGGAGGAGCUCCGCGGCGGCGCGGGCUGGUGGCGCCCGUUCGGCCCAGAUCUGGGCCGAGGCGGGCCGGCAGCUCCGAUUUGUGGUGUAUCUUCCUGGAAGCGGCGGUGGGGUGUCUGGAUCCUGGGUGGUGGCGGCAUCGUUGCCGGAUUGUGCAGCGUGGCGGUGGAGUCUUUGCGGGAUCGAUCUGAGCCCGGCUAGGCCCGGGUGGCCUGGUUUGCCUCCCGCCUCGGCGUCCGGCUGGCUACCGCGAUGGCGUUGGAGGAACUGGCCUCUGGCGCGGCGUCGGUGGAGGUUGUCCCCUCCCGCUUGGCUGCGGUGCUGCCACCCCCGGCUCCAUGCGUUCUCAUUUUCCGUCCUCUAGGCCUCGCGGUGGUGGCCUUAGUGAGACGGCGUGGGUGGCCUCAAGACCGCGGUGGCGAAGGAGGGUGGGUGGCGUGUUGGGUGGAAGACUCCGGAGCGAUUGGGUAGUGUGCACAAGUGUUAGAAUCCUAAAAGGUAAAUAGUUUCUUAAGAUCUGAAGCAAGUGUUGGAAGAUUCUGCUGCCUCUAGAUACACAACAAAUGUCCACAUGUUGCUUCUUGGAGAAGCCGAGAGAGCCUUGAGCGGAGUGUUUAACCUUAUGUAUGAUAUUCUUAACUACCAUUUGUAUUAAAUGAACCAAUAAACAUUUUAUGUUAAUUGUCUUGACAAAUUUUGCUGUGUGCAGACUUACAUAUUAGUGGCACUACACAAAAAAAGAUGGCUAAGGGGUUUAUGAAGUAGGAUAGAGAUUGGUGAGAAAAUAUGUGCCCUCUCUCUCGUUUGUAAAGAGGUUCAAAUGUUAUGUGUGUAGCUUUUGCUAGUAUUCUCGAAUCGUUGGCCGUGAAUUGUCAAUUGUGUAAAUGUACAUGUGAAUUGUCUUAUGAAAAACAAUGUGCAACUGAGUGAUUAUGCCUGUGUAUUGUGUUCAUGUCUUUCUGUAAAUUUCGUUUGCAUUGCUGGUAACAUACUGAAAUGAAGUGCAUGCAUGCAAUGGUGAAAUGAAUCGGUACGAUCGACUGGCUGGCGGUCCAAACUAGUACACUAUCACUGACCGGUUAGAUUGCGGGUCUAUGAUGAGCAAGUCAUCACAAACCCUGAUCCACUGACAGACCAGCAACUAGUUAGUGAUGAUGAAAUUUGGCCGGUAAGUGUUAUUCGGAUUUGUAGUANNNNNNNNNNNNNNNNNNNNNNNNNNNNNNNNNNNNNNNNNNNNNNNNNNNNNNNNNNNNNNNNNNNNNNNNNNNNNNNNNNNNNNNNNNNNNNNNNNNNNNNNNNNNNNNNNNNNNNNNNNNNNNNNNNNNNNNNNNNNNNNNNNNNNNNNNNNNNNNNNNNNNNNNNNNNNNNNNNNNNNNNNNNNNNNNNNNNNNNNNNNNNNNNNNNNNNNNNNNNNNNNNNNNNNNNNNNNNNNNNNNNNNNNNNNNNNNNNNNNNNNNNNNNNNNNNNNNNNNNNNNNNNNNNNNNNNNNNNNNNNNNNNNNNNNNNNNNNNNNNCUCGGGUUUCUGCCCCUUUAUGAUAUAUGAGAAAACUGAACGAUUCAGGUGAAACUAGUCAUGAUAAUAAUUAGCAAUUCUAGUAUUUUAACACACAUAUCCCAAUCACUAUAGUUUUUUCAAACGACUAUUUUAACAACGCAUCUACGAUUCAUAGUAAAAUGUGACAUUGUAUACUGUAAAAUUUCUACAAUCUACAAGGUCAAAUUUAUUGUAAAUGUGACCACAACACCAGAUACACUAGAAAUAAAGUAAAACCCUAAAAGUCCCAUGCUAGCUAGACUACUCUUGGUUGGCUAGAAAUUAGGAGGGAGUACCCAGAUGCCAGUUUGAGCACGAGCUGCUACAUAAGAUCCCGCUGAUUUGAUCCUCUGUGUGACAUUGUCGCUACUUUCAUCUUGCAUAGGAUAUACACGGUUACCAUUGCCAUCAAAACUUGCCAAGUAUGUCAUAUCAUCAGCGUAGAUGUGGUUUCUCUGCACCCUGUCGCGCCCAACCACCGGCACGUCAACCGCCCUGGACAUUUUCCCCAAAAAUAAGGCGGAGUCACCCAAGGUCCUUACUUCCUCCCACUUACGAGCAUACUUUGUCAUCGAGUCAUCAUCCAACACAUAAACCUUGAAGAAAGGCUCAGGGCCGGUGUGGUAUGAUGGGAAUUUCCCCAGUACCAUCGCUAGCUUCCCUUGCAGCUCAACAAUGUGAGUCGACCAUGUGAAAGGUUCACUAACAAUCUUGAUAUGCAACUCGGCGUCAAUGGCGAGCAGAGGCCUGCCAUAUUUGUUCGCGCCUAUGUUGAAUUUGAUCAGGUCAUUGGAGAAUAUUAUAUUAAUGUCAAUUUAAUAUUAUACUAUGUGUCGUCAAUUUAAAAGGCUCCUGCCGUCAUGCCUUUGAGUAUUAUAUUAAUGUCAAAUUGUUUAAAUGCUAGUAAUUAGUUAACUUAGAAGCAAACUGUUUAUUGAUAAAAUGCUAUAGUAUAAUUAAGGGAGUUUUUUUUUUGAAAAAUAAUAAUGUUAGAUAUAUGCUGAUGCAACAAGGGCAUGAUUUUAUUUGUUAGCAAUACUAAUAAAAAAGUUCAUAGAAAAUAAUUUUAUACUCCCGAGGGUUAUACACAUAGUUUAAUUUGUUAAUUGUUAAAAAGUUAGCUAUACAACUAGCUAUAUAUUUGUAAAUACUAAUUAGUAGUGUAAAAAAGCAGGAACGAGCACCCGCCUAUGAUACCUUGAUUUACCAACACAAAACGUGCAUCUUGUGUGUAUGAUUGUGAAAUGCACGUUGUGUGUGGAGUUUGACAUCUAAUUUUUAACCCGCUGUUGGUCUUUCAUAUAGAGGAAUGUCUCGCUGUGCUUCCACGAGUCCCUGUAGUUCGCUACGGCUCAGAAACACAGUGUUCGGACGUCAGAUACACUAAAGUUGCACUAUGACAACCAUUGUACAAUCCAGCCCGCCUCAGUUAUAUUAAUAAAAAUAUCGAUCCGAGAACUUUAUCAUGUAUCUGGUUGCGACAGACGCAUAUACGUUCGAGAAAAAGGAGAUAAAUGGUCCUGCGAAGGUAAGGUGGCAGCUAUCGGUGUUCUAGUACACAAGACAACCGAACGCUACACACAGUACUACAAGUCAGUAAUAAAUAGAGUCUGGCGACUACUAGGCUGGCAUGACAGUGCUGUCGAGCGACUCGCCGAUGUGUAUGGCAAUGUGGAAAAUGCAUCCCAUUACUUCUCAUCUCCGCUCCUCUUUGCUCGGUUUGUCCAAGAAGCGGAACACACCACUCAUGUCGGCCUACAUGGCAUAACAUGCUCGUGGAGAAACUAUGNNNNNNNNNNNNNNNNNNNNNNNNNNNNNNNNNNNNNNNNNNNNNNNNNNNNNNNNNNNNNNNNNNNNNNNNNNNNNNNNNNNNNNNNNNNNNNNNNNNNNNNNNNNNNNNNNNNNNNNNNNNNNNNNNNNNNNNNNNNNNNNNNNNNNNNNNNNNNNNNNNNNNNNNNNNNNNNNNNNNNNNNNNNNNNNNNNNNNNNNNNNNNNNNNNNNNNNNNNNNNNNNNNNNNNNNNNNNNNNNNNNNNNNNNNNNNNNNNAAGACGAUGAAAAUUGAGUAAACACAAAAGUAAAGUAGCCGGUCUCAUUAUCAUUAGAAGACGAUGGCAACUACUGCAUGCACCCAUACAUUCUUGGAUCGCUAUAUUUGGCUUAUUCGGUCACAAACCGACGACUUUGCAGCUGCUACAUAAACAACGCUACUCUGGAUCUUAGGGAAAAAUGUUUGGAGACGGAUAUUGAUAAAGGAAACCGAGGAGAGUUGGUGAUGUGAGUCUACUCCAUCGUGCAUGCUACCUACAUGGACAAGCACAUCCGACCUGGCACAGCCUCGAGUUUCAUUAUCCCCUCUUGAUCCCUCUGAUGUUUCCUCUUUCUCUUCAUCAUCAUCUUCACAUCCCUCAAUGUGCACGUUUUUGUGCCUCGAUUUGAUUGGUUCAACUACUUGCUGGCUAUCCUCAGAGUGGUCAAUUUUUUUGGUGUUCGCGAGGAGUCACCAGUACAAGCAUGGUACUGAUAUGUCAUACAUGACCGUGGCAUUUGUACUUGUAGUUUCCUUUCAUUUUUCAUUUUCCUUUUUAAACGCAUACUGUACUUUCUUUACUACACGAUAAUUAAUAUACACUGCACAUUUUUGUAGUAUACGUCAAACAAAUUUUUUAAUUGUAUGAAAACAUAUUUUAUAUUCACACUAUUUUAAAAAAAUAUAGUGAAUAUUUCUAAAUACAUCUAUAAUUUUUUAAUACACAAUGGACAAUUUUUUCAUGUACACAUAACACUUUUUAGUAUAUGAGGAACAUUUGAAAUAUACGGCGAACAUUUUCUAUAUACCCACUAAUAUUUUUAUAAAUGCUGAACAUUUUAAAAGUACACGUUCAUUUUUGUGUUUUCACAAACCAUAGAAAACCAAGAAACUGAAGUAAAAUGAAUAAACGAAAAAAAACAGUACCGGACAGCUCCGUCGCUGCAAAAAUAGGUCUGCACGUCUUAGUGGGCCUACCCAUUCAGAGUCACCUAUGCGUAUCCUCAACUUUUUCGACAACGGGUGCCUUUUAUUUACUUAUAAUGUUGCAUCGAGGGAUACAAUCAUAACAAGCACACACCCAAACUAUGUAUAACUAGCAUACACACUGCGAACACACAUAAAAAAUCACACUGGCAAAUAACAAAGUCAAAUAAGACAAGAACUAUGGCUAGACACAUACAGAAAACGAAGGAAAGAAGAAGAAAUCCCGAGGCGACCAAAAGAGCAUACGUGAGUGAUCAUAUGUGCCAACCAUCUGAACUACUGCGUCAACUAGGAGGUCUCGCUUCUAAGGCCAUCAAUAAUAUUAACGAUGGUUCCAUAUAAAAAAAGAAUAUUAACGGUGGUAGCAGGUGCGAGAUCUUAAAUUAUCAUUUUUUAAGGCCGCUCCAUCGUUUUUGUUCUGCACAAGUGGCUCCCCUAGCCGUAACCCCACCCACUGGUUAUGUAGUUCUUUAAGAGAAAAUCGAUGACACAUGCAAGCAACAAUUUUGUAUCUUCUGUCAUUUGUUUAUACUAUGCCAUCACGAGGAGAUUGCACUUAAAAAGACAAAUUGCAUAUAGGAUAGUUAAAAAAGGGUUGUUUUCUGUCGUGGAAAGGUUGAUUCUAGUAUGAGUAUUCUCUUGGUAUCCGUUCCUUCAUGGAGAAGAGAAGGUGAUUUUCUCUCGCCGCCCCGUCAAUUGAAAUUAUACAUGUUCAAUGAUGACAUGAAGGUUAAUUUCACACCACUCAUUCAUUGUGCUUGCCUUGAGUUCCCUUCAAGGAUAUACCGUGGCAUUCCCGCCUCAAAGAGCUUUUUCAAACCCCUUUCUCAAGAUGCACAACUCAGUCAUUGUUAUCUUGUGUAGACGGGUUCAUCCAACAGGGUAUAAGAUAACACGAUGGACUGAACUGAAGAGAAAAGAAAAAAAAAAUCAUCUACUAAGCCUUAAGCAUUAAACAAGCUUGGAGUGUUGGUCAGCGUGCGACAUCAUUCAAGAAUUUUGUGGACCUACGCUGACCCAAUGAACUUGUGCCCUAUCCCUUGAAGAAAUAUCUCAUCAAUUAUGAAUAAAAAUGUUUGAAGCAUAGAAGUACUCAUGUUUUGACAACAAUACGACCCAUUGUCAUAAACUCAUAAUAUCCCCAAUUUUUACUCAUGAAAAUCAUGUUUGCAUCCCUUUUUGACUCGUUACAUUGCAAUUGUGUCCCAAUUAGAUAACAAUAACACUAAUGAUUGAGCUUGCCAUUGGUAUUCAGUUAUGUGUACACACACAUCACCUUAUGGGUAUUUCACACGAGAAGAAAAUUAGAGGCGAUUUAUUUGCAACUAACAGGCGCUUGCCGCCUCCCAUUGGCUCGCUGCUUGCCAACAAGCAUUCGAUUCCAUUCAACUGAAUUUAAGAAAAAUGGUCAGCAUGUUGGCGCUGUACUGUGUUGGGUUCGUUGAUUGCAUCCAUAUAUAUAAGCAGUCCAUUCCAUUCAACUCAAUUCAUCAACUGCAUCCAUAAUAAAUAUCAAAAAUUCCCCAUGGCACACAACGUGAUUUGCUUGCUUCUUGAUCGGAUUAUCAAACACCGGAGGGGUGUCUUCCUGUGUGAGGGUGGCCGAAACAAACUCGGCAAUUGCAGACGCUCUGAACUCGCCAUCUGCAAUACACACAGUACAUUGUUAGCCAAUUUAACAGUCAAACCAACUCGGUACAUAGAAAUGGAAAGGAGAAGCUAAAACAAGUUUACCAUAUACUGUUAACUUCGCCUCUUUUUUCUUGAGCAGGACUAGUGAUGGGCGCUUUGCUUGCGGGUCAACAUGGAAAAGCUUGGCUAUAUCAGGACUGGUAGUCUGGUAGAUGUUGACAGCCCGGUACAAGCUGUUGAAAUCUUCCAGCCUUGAGGCAGCAGCAAGCUCUUCGGUGUGAGCACCCUAUAGCAUUUGUUGAUAAGAGUAAUCAAUUUUGGGCCACAUGUGCGGUGCAAUUGCAGCAAUUCGGUUGGAUGGUAGACUUUGCUGGGAUUGGAACGUACCGAAAGGGAGUCGAGGAAAGCUAGCACGGCUACUUUGCCGCCGGUGAUGAUCUUCUCGGCCUCGUCGAUGGUGGUGACGUUCUGCACCUCAGGGCCCAGCCUCUGGGAUAUCCAAGUGACCAUGGCGUCCCUGCAGCAGUGGAAAAUUCGCCACCAUGAGGGAUGAAAUAUAAGACCGUUUAGAUCACCAAAGUAAUCUAAACCACGAACAAAAAAUAAGAACAAAAAAUUUGAAUGGAACAUUUCCUGAAAUUCACAAACAUUUCUUAAAAACAUGAAUCUUUCUAAACCACGAACAUUUUUUAAGUUGUCAACAAGAACAUGUUUUGAAGAUUCAGAAGAGUUGUAGUAAUUUUUUUCUUUAAUGCAAACAUUAUUUUCAAUUUUUGAACAUAUUGUGAAAACAACAAUAUUUUUAGAAUUUGGAAUAUUUUCAAAAUGCAUUUUUCUAAAUAUUGUUUUUUAAAUACAGUUAUUUUUUAACAAAUGGCAAUAUUUUUUAAAUUUUGAAAUACAUUUGGCAGAACUAAAAAAAUUCCAAACAUUUUUAGAAUAGGAACACAUUUAUGUAAUUCGUAUAUUUUUAUGAAUUCUUGAAUAAAAAUGAAAUUGCGAUAUUUUCCGAAAAUUUUGAAUUUCAGAAAAUACGUAGAAAAUAGACUUAGAAUGUGAAAAGUAAAAAAUAAAUACGAAACAAAAAGAGAACUAAGCAGAAAAAUAAAAAUGGAAACCGAACACAAGCAUAAAUCGGCCGCUGAGUUUUGGGCGCCUUGUGCGUACCUGAAACUAUUUACCGCCUUGUGCGGGAAAUAGGAUUUUUUGUUGCUACAUGGGCAGGAAAAAAUGGGCUGAAUUUACGGGGCCAUAGUGCGCGCGGCCCAUGUACGAAAUUUUGCACAAAUUGUUUUUCCUUUGCUAAUAGACGAACAUAGAAAGUUUAGUACCACCUCGGAAAGAAAAACAAUAAUUUUUUGGCGGUGAACGGAUAAAAAAAUCGGAGAAACGCACCUUGCUUUAUUAGUAGGUAUAUAUAGAUAUUGAUAUAGAUAUAGAUUGCUCAAGGUGAAAAGCUAAGGCUAUCCUCUUAAGAAAAAAAACGAAGUUAUCUUCCUCGAAAGAAAAACAAAACUAUGUUAUAUAUCCUCCUCUCAAUCAACAAAAUCACCUCUCCUCGAGCAAGCCAACUCUGACUGCACCAUGGGUAAACGUCAAGAUCCCUCCGAACGAUACACGAGAACCGUCUCGGCCACUGCCAAACAAUUGGCCACAAGCUUCGACAACAUAGCAGCUUGGAUUUUGCCGAUGAACUUUGCUGGGGAAAAUUGUAAGCCUCGCACCGAUCUAGUCCAGCGCAAUCUCUGGAGAGCAGCGUCCACUGAAACCAUCUUCAUGGAGUCAUCGUUUCCGCAGGCGCCCCUCCACACACAGCUUCAUCUUCUUUGUUACAACAAGAAACAAGCAUAGGCACACCCAUUGGCACACCCGACUGUCAAAUUCAGAAGGGCCAACCACGACCUAGCUCCGCUCGCCACCAUUGUCGUCGCCACGAGUGCCAACACCAACUACUCGCAUCAUCAGCUGUGCACCAUCCAACCGUGAGAAUGUGCAUAUCCAACCCAGGAAAAGUGUGGAGGGGAACAAAUCUUCAAGACGGCGCCCUAAGUGGGGAGCGAUGCAGAAAUAACAAUGUUGUCCGACCCUGCAACAGGGACCUUAGGCUUUUACUGAAGACAUCCCAAGGGUGACCAAGAUGGAAGAGCUGCACGGCGACCCUCCAAGAAGGAAUAACGACACUAGCAACCGCCACAUCAUCAUUGAUGGCAUAAUCCAGGCAAGCCUUUGCCCCGGAGGAACAAACGUGCACAUACACCCCCACUAGACAAAAUACUGCCUUACCUAUAGACAAAUCAGUUCUUUUUUGGGCGAGAUAAGCCCAAAGUAAUCUGUGCAAAUAUUCUCUGUAAAUUCAAAAUCUAUGUGUAUUAUAUGUAGUUAAUCAACAUUUUACCGCCCAAAUUAGAAUCCUAGCCACUUUAUACCUCGAACUUUCAUUAAAUGUGUCUAGACUUACGUAUUGAGUGCACCAUGCAUGCUGCCAAGCCAACCCGCGUUGAAUCGCGCCAUAAAUUUCCUUAAGUUUAAAUUUCCGCUAGGAUUUACCUUGUAAAUAAGUUUCCACCGUUCUUACUAGCACAAAUUUAAAGCUUUGGGGUAAAUCCUUUCUGCAUAAUCCCUGUAAAAAAUGAUAAAAGUAAAGGUACAAAGUAGAAAUUUUAAUAUAUAUCAUCACACAAUCAUAGUACAACCAGCACACACAUACAAUUAUCAUCCAUACAAGCCAGAAAAGUAAGUCAGAACAAUCACAAGAUUUACAUGGGCAUCAUACCCUAAUCUUGAUUGAUCUUGACAUUAUAUAGCACAGAAUGACUUGAUGGUGGUGGGUUACAACACACCACUUAUUUAAUCCAGCAGGCAAUAUAAGUCACGAGUAUACUAUAUCUGGCGCGGUUGAUGUACUCGAACAUCUCAUCCCAGCGGCUCCUCUUGGAUGUGUGCUUCCACAUUUUCCUUUUCCGCUUGUGUCCCAAGUGGUGGUUUUGGUUGUGCAUUCGGGUCCGGCAGUCCAGGCAGUGGUUGUGGGUUUGGGUCUGGUAAUGGUUGUGGGUUUGGAUCAGGCUGCGGUCCUGGUAAUGGCUGAGGGUUUGGGUUUGGUUGUGGGUCCGGCAAUGGUUUUGGGUUUGGGUCUGGUAAUGGUUGUGGGUUUGGAUCAGGCUGAGGUCCUGGUAAUGGUUGAGGGUUUGGGUUUGGCUGUGGGUUNNNNNNNNNNNNNNNNNNNNNNNNNNNNNNNNNNNNNNNNNNNNNNNNNNNNNNNNNNNNNNNNNNNNNNNNNNNNNNNNNNNNNNNNNNNNNNNNNNNNNNNNNNNNNNNNNNNNNNNNNNNNNNNNNNNNNNNNNNNNNNNNNNNNNNNNNNNNNNNNNNNNNNNNNNNNNNNNNNNNNNNNNNNNNNNNNNNNNNNNNNNNNNNNNNNNNNNNNNNNNNNNNNNNNNNNNNNNNNNNNNNNNNNNNNNNNNNNNNNNNNNNNNNNNNNNNNNNNNNNNNNNNNNNNNNNNNNNNNNNNNNNNNNNNNNNNNNNNNNNNNNNNNNNNNNNNNNNNNNNNNNNNNNNNNNNNNNNNNNNNGGCAAUGGUUUCGGGUUUGGGUCUGGAAAUGGUUGUGGGUUUGGAUCAGGCUGCGGUCCUGGUAAUGGCUGAGGGUUUGGGUUUGGUUGUGGGUCCGGCAAUGGUUUUGUGUUUGGGUCUGGUAAUGGUUGUGGAUUUGGAUCAGGCUGCGGUCCUGGUAAUGGACGAGGGUUUGGGUUUGGCCGUGGGUCUGGUAGUAGCUGCGGGUUUGGGUUUGGCCAUGGGUUCAUCAACCGUUGCAGGUUUUGGCCUGGCAAUGGUUGUGGAUUUGGGUCAGGGUGUGGUCCUGGUAAUGGUUGAGCAUUUGGAUCAGGUUGUGGCUCAGGCAGUGGUUGUGGGUUUGGAUUAGGUUUAGGAUCGGGUAGUGGUUGCGGGUUUGGGUCUGGUCGUGGUCCUGGCAGUGGUUGUGGGUCUGGCAAUGGUUGAGGAUUUGGAUUUGGUUGUUUUCCUG
This 47367-nucleotide long non-coding RNA is filed under the name Triticum aestivum (bread wheat). Its description in RNAcentral is "long non-coding RNA (TAES_LNC009528)". Lineage: Eukaryota; Viridiplantae; Streptophyta; Magnoliopsida; Poales; Poaceae. The record is from RNAcentral.